AAGCAAUCAGGGCUCAGGAUACCCAUUUCUUGGAAUCGGGUCAACUUGUAUAUAUUAGCAGUGAUCAUAUCCCUACUCCAUACAUAUAUCAGAGUAUCGUGGUACAACGAAAAACUGUAUGCCAGGCAUCAUAUGCUGCUAAGUAAGAUGAGGUGACGGGGCUUAGGGAGUGUGAUCUUACCAACAAACGCAAAAAAAAAUGAUGCAGGAAGCACAGGGUGCGAUUACAAUGGUGGGUAGAAGUAUGAUGAUACAGAGAAGCCAAGGAAGAGGAGGCCUCCAAUGGUGGCUACAGUGCCUUGUGAUAUCCUCGACGCCAGCAUGCUGCCGCCCACCACUGCGAAUGACGUGCAGAUGGUGUGCCCCAAGGUUGCUCCAAUGGCAACACCUACAGCAUUCUUGUGCGUAGCCAGCUGCAUUUCAAAACAUGCUACCGGUUAAAAUGGAUUUUUGCUUGACCACAGACAAAUUGAGAAUUUGAUUGCGCAAGGGAAAUAAGUCAUACCGCAAUUGUGGCUAUCUGACUUCGGUCGCCCCACUCAGCCAGGAAGGUCAACACAAAUGACUGGAUCAUAAAAAACAAGUCAUACAUCAAGCCGUUGAUAGACAUCACAGUCAUUGCAGCGUCACUGAAGGGAGUUGUAUUUAUCAACCAUUGUAUAUGCACAGUUGGCGUGAACAGAAAUAUACUAUGCAAGACUAAAAAGGGAGUUGUAAAUUUUCUCAAUCCUAUAUAAUUACAUCUCAAAUGAGAUGGUAGAAAACAUAGUUAUCAAGAAAGAAUCAUUAAAUCAUAAAUGACAAAAGGACGGGAAAUGUACCUCCAAGAAAAUAGGAGUACAUAACCUUGAGAAGACGCGUCUAAAUGUUGAUUUCCCUUGACCUGCUUCCAGCUUUUCCUGUACCUGCAUAUUUCAAGCGAUUAAAAAUUAUAAGGUGUUUAAAUUACCACACCAAAAAAUUAAAAGAACAGGUUCGAGCCAGCAGGGAUGCAUGAUACACAUAUCCAGUUGAUGGUAAAACCGCUAUUGACACAAAAGGAAGAGUGUAUCUACAUGAAUUGAUGUUUAUACUUCAGCAGACUGAUUCAGUAUUUUGAGAAAUUGAAUCGCAACCCAAACAGAUGUUUUAUGAUUAGCAGUUUAUGCGGUAAACAAACAAGACUAUGCUAAUUCUCAGCUGUAGAGCCAUGUAAGAAAAUGCACAUACUUCUUCUAUUUCCUUGUUCUGUGAUGCCCUAGAAUCUGAUCUCCAAGCAAUGUAAAGCAGUCGCAGCCCAAAGAACGCAUAAAGGACUGAAGCACAAAAACAAAAGGAGGAUGUUAGGUAUUAGACGAACUGGUGAAUUAACUGUAUGCUAGUGCUAUAAAAUUGGCAGACAUGCAUAUUUCACGAAAUACCUUACUUGAGAUUUAAAGAAUAUAUAUGUGUAAUCAACAAUGUACUAUAAGCAUGAUAAGACCGAUGGAAGCUCCUUAGUACGAUUUUUAAAUCCCGGUUUGCCAAACUCAUGUGAAGUUGGUGUCAUCGAAUCUCCUUAGAUGUAUCACUAGUUUUGCACUAGGCCUUCCAUGAAAAAGGCGAAGAAGAGUUUAGUCCACAGUUGUGCACAAGUUCGGGAACCCAGUUUUAAGCCUCACUGGCACUGGCAUAUUUCCAUGGUAACUAAAUGUGCUUCUUUCUUUUUGCCAACACUUAUUUCCCGAUAGCUAGAUUCUGAAUUUGUUUGCACACUGUUAGGAGAACACAGUCCAUACAGAGAUUUAUUUAUAUAAUGACAUUAUAGUUUGAAUGUUGUGAUUUGGUUUUGACACUGCUCGGUGCUCGCUGGGUACUAUGGUUUACUAGACAUAAGAUCAUGGUUAAAGAUAAGCUGAUCUAUCAGUCUCACCCUACUGGCGUGCAUCUUCUUACAGCAAAGGCAACCAUUGUGGUAGGGGUGAGUCAGCGGACUAAAGGAAAAUGGCUGAUGUAGUGUAAGGGGGGUCCUUUUCUGUGGUUUUGAGUGAGUGGCUGAGUGGGCCAUGGAGCGGUGCAUUCCUGGUUUCUGCUUUGCUCCGUUUCGUAACUUAAACUGGCAAUCCCAGCAUAGCUCUCUAUACGACUUGCUGUCUGAAUUCUUACACAUAAGUAAAAUAAAGAUAGAAGAAAACCGGAAGAUUGUUGCUUAUGCAACUUUCCUAUUCUAAUUUAAGGCUCGCUUGGGUCCUGGAUAAAUAAAUCAACACGUAACUGGGGAAAGGCAUUUAUCUAUAAUUACAACAUUACAGGAAUUUGCACAGCUUCUAUUUAUACAGAGGCACUAAUUCUGAAGGAUUCUAACAAAUGCAGGUGCAAGUAUCAAGCCUUUGAAUUUCUAUCUACUAAUAUGUCAAAACUGAACCAUUUGGUUUUUGGACAAUGCUGGCCAUCUAAUGCAUAUUUCAGGUACUUGCAGAGAUCAAUAUUUAGCAGGUUGGUGUUAAAACGUUUAUGAAUGCUUUUGGAACAGUUAUGGUCAUAUUGUGCCAUUUCAUUUGAUGAUUUGACCAAUAUUCUCCAACGUCCAGGAUGUCCAUGCACAACAAUAUAAAUCUACUACUACUAAAACCUCAGACCAGCUUGAACAAUCAAUGGACAUCAAGCUAACAAUCAGAUAAGUCAAUACCAGUUGCUGCGCUGUUAGUGUGCUUCCUCGAUAUCAAGUUCGGGACGAUCCUGCCAAGCCCAGUUGAUAGUACCUAAAACAGCACAGAGCGCAGCAGGAGUAAUUAACACUAAACUGCGAUCCUAUUCUGCCAAACAAACAGAUGCUGCGGUUUCACCUACCGUCAUGACAACCAGCGCCGACAACGCACCAGAGAGCACCGUCGACUUGGGGUGCCGCAUCGCCAUGAGAGCCGCGAUGAUGAACGUCUCGUCGCCAAUCUUCAGUCAGCAAGGCAUGAACACACAGCACCCAGUAAUAAGAACAUAAACAGUAGGCAGGAGAGCAAAUUCAGAAACACCGGAGUGGUAGCAUUUCUGCAUUUGUAUCCGAGAAAUGGCAGGUCACCUCGCUGACGAGAAUCAUGGAGAGGCUGGCGAAGAAGGCGUCGAAGAGGCCCAGCUCGGACUCCUGCUCGACGCCGGCGUCGCCUCCGCCGCCGAUGACGCCGCGCGCCGUGUGGACGAACAUCUGGGGAGCAGCGGAACAGGCGGGGGAGGCCUUGAUGUGAGUGAGACCGACAACAACCCAGCUCCCAAAACCAGGGCUAAGACGAGACAGGCGACGGGCGCGGCGCGUGCGGUGUCAACUGUCAACUGACCUUGGUGCGGCGGUCGAGGCGGCGCGUGGUGGUGGCGUUGCCGGCGGCGGCAUCGUGCGCACCCUGAAACUGAAGGGAGGAAAACAAAAUCAGCCACGCGCCCAGAGUCGGAGGGGGGCUCGGCAGGCGGCAAACGGGAAAGAGGCGACGCCCGCGUGGGGGUGGGGGUGGGUGAGGACCGAAGGGCGAGGGGCGCUGACCUGGUCCCCGGCGGCGGAGGCGGCGNNNNNNNNNNNNNNNNNNNNNNNNNNNNNNNNNNNNNNNNNNNNNNNNNNNNNNNNNNNNNNNNNNNNNNNNNNNNNNNNNNNNNNNNNNNNNNNNNNNNNNNNNNNNNNNNNNNNNNNNNNNNNNNNNNNNNNNNNNNNNNNNNNNNNNNNNNNNNNNNNNNNNNNNNNNNNNNNNNNNNNNNNNNNNNNNNNNNNNNNNNNNNNNNNNNNNNNNNNNNNNNNNNNNNNNNNNNNNNNNNNNNNNNNNNNNNNNNNNNNNNNNNNNNNNNNNNNNNNNNNNNNNNNNNNNNNNNNNNNNNNNNNNNNNNNNNCGGAGGCGGCGGAGGCGACGAAGGGGGCGGAGACGGCGAGGGCGAGGAGGAGGAGGAGGAGGAGGAGGGUGAGGGCUCGCCGAGGCAUCGGGACGGGUGGAUCGAGCGGGAGGGGUGGAGGCGACGGGUGGGAUGGGGUGGGGUGAGGUGGGGGGAUUCGACUGGGAGGGGAGGAGACGGCGGCGAGAGGCCGGGAUCUCGGCCUCGGCCUCUCUCGGCGCGGCGUGGGUGGGUGGAGUGGACCGGCCACGGACGGACCCAGUGCUCGAAAAUAUUAGCUGGCCGUGCUCUCUCUUUGCCCCUCUGCCGUGCCGUGCCACCGACGCGCCGUCCCGUGCCGAUUCGCGCGCUCACCCACCGCCCCGCCCUUGUCACGCAACGCUGGAACGCGUGAGCUCUCAUGCUACCCAGGAUUCGCGUACUACAGUACAACUUUUCUUUUUGAGGAAAAAAAAUCGCGUCCAACUUCGUCUGCUAGAAUGAAUAGCCAAUAUUUUUCGUGACAUGUGCAUAGAACAGGACGCACCGUACGCAAGUGCAGCGACGUGGGUUUACCAGAGGUCAGUCCGCACCAUUGGAAAGGGGAGACCUGUUUGCGUCGGGUUGGAUUCAACCAAACUCUGCCCGACUCCCCUCCCCAUUGUGACCAAGAAUUCCUUGGAUUUACUACUCGCUCACGCACGUGGCAGCGUUGACGCAUCCGGCCUCGUGAAUCGCGAUGAAGAUGCUAGUACCAGUAUCUUUCUCUUGCUUGAAAGAUUGCUUUGACUUGGGCGUCGCACUUGGAGUGCAUGAAACUGAUUCCUCCUCCGUUUCCUUGGGAUACUACUGUCUCUGUUUUUGGGUACAAGCUUUCUAGAGAUUUCAAUAAAAAACAUAUUUUAGAAUGUAGAUUCACUUAUUUUGCUUCAUAUAUAGACCGCAUUGAAAUAUUUAAAAGUGCUUAUACUUACAAACGGAGGGAGUAGUAAUCGGCAUGGACGAACUGGACAAUAACAUUUCCGAUGGCUCGAAUCUGACUUUGAGCCAAGGCUACGUCUACGUAUAUACUAGUGUUGAAAAUAUGAGCAAAUUACUACGAGAAUUAAUCCGAAUUAACAGAAAAUAAAUCAUGACUACAGUAGCAGAGAUUGAACUAAUCAUGCGAACUAGCAUAGUAGAUGAACAGAUCACAUCUAGGACACAUACUAGAAACAUGAAUUCUACCACGAUCUCGAACAGGAAAGAUAGAAUCACAUACGGUGCAGCGGGAGCAGCACCGCCGGCGUUGACGUUGUCGCCCAUGUCGUCGAGGAUGAGGUUGCCGAGGUCGGGGAAGAAGUCGUCGUUCGCGAAGUCGUCGCUGCCAGCAGUCGCGCGAGUGCGCUCCCCAAAAACCUGAUCGCCCCUCUCCCGUACAGGAUCACAAGAGGCGGGGUUCCGGAGGCCUGCUGUCUCUUCUCCCGGUGCACGCCGAAAGGAGGGAUGGAGAAGACUUGAUUGGCGGCGCAAUGGUCUGGAACGGAGGUGAGAAACCAUACGAGAAACAGCGGCGGCUAGGGUAGACGUCUGCCUGACUAUAUAGUGCGGGCCGGAUAGGUCGUGGGAGUAAACCCCACGUCCGAGUCGUCACGAUCCAAAAGAACCGGAAACGGUUCGGUAAUUAACGCGUCCAUUAAUUAUUAACUAAUGACUCAUUAAUUUAUCCCGAGCAGCAAAAAUAUAGACAACGUGCAUAGCUCUGUCAUCGGCUCGGCUCAAUCCCGCGUGGCGAGGCGAGGCGUGGCGUGGCGUGGCGAGGCGAGCGAGGAGGAGGAGCGCGCGUGUAGGUCUCCUCUUCUCAUGCUCAUACAAGUGGUAGGAGAGCUCACCUUAUAAAAAGGUGCAACUCUCUCUCAACUUAUGAGGUGGGACUAAAUUUUAGCCUCACUCACUCCACUCACAUGUGUGCAUGAAUGAGCCAAGAGAAUUUCAGAAUUUUAGUUGGGCUUUGGGCCAAAAGCCCGCUAGCAAAUUUCAACAAUCCCCCACAAAGUCUCAUUGGCACAUUUCACCAUUUGGUUCCAAAACAUUGUUUAUAUGCCGGUGCUUAGUGGAGACUGUGAAGUUGAACUUCCACUUAGAGAUUUAUGCUACACUAGAUCACAACUUGAAUAGUGGAUUAUGCCUUGAACUACAAGUUUUCUGCGAGACUAGUUUCACACAAAUUCUUGACCGGUACUGGGCUGCCGCAAGGCUUCCCCGCGGGUGGAGCGUAUACGUCGUACUCCAGGGCCUUUCAUGAAUUUAUUAGAGAGCACCCACUUCUCACAGACUGCGACAUUAACAGUCAAAUUCAUACAGGUGUGUUCCUCAGGAGAUGCUCUGCAGGACAACAUCUCUGCUUAUUCAAAUAAGCCACUUGGAACACAUUAAGAUAGAUAUCAACCUGCCAUGCAGAUCAGGAGAGUAUUGCAUCUUCAUGGAGUGGGAUGAUUAAAAUAAGGAUACUCUCCUCUCAGCUGACCAACAGCUUGUCUCCCACUUCUACUUCACGGGAUCUCCGAUCACAUAAAGUGGGUUACCACUAUGGACAACUCAUGCAGUGGGUCUCAUGAAGGAAAUAUGCCCUAGAGGCAAUAAUAAAGUUAUUAUUUAUUUCCUUAUUUUAUGAUAAAUGUUUAUUAUUCAUGCUAGAAUUGUAUUAACCGGAAACAUAAUACAUGUGUGAAUACAUAGACAAACAUAGUGUCACUAGUAUGCCUCUUGUGUCAGGACCCCGACUUAAUGCCACAUCGAUCUAGCAUGUAACACCUCAUAUCACUUUGCGGCCUCACGCACGGUAUUCCCACGGGUGUCGCCUUACCUUUGCCCGGGACCGUUUGCGCCUUUUGGCACACGUAUAUGAUAGUGUCGCUAGCAUCCAUAUGAUAAGGAGUCCGGACUGACAUGGCUAGUCGUAAACCCAAAGUGGCACAGACUUACAGGGACAGGCAUCCAUGACCCAGCAUCGAACGUGUCGGUCAUCAGCGAGUGAAUCCAGGCUGUAGCACUGGGCUAACAGGACUCCGGUGAACCGGGCUGUAGCGGGCUAACAGGACUCUGGUAUUCAUUGCGUGACAUUUCCCCGAAGGGACAGACACAGGAACGAAGAAUGACACAUGCCGGCCAGCCUAAGUGUUCCGGAGCAGUAGCAAGCUACCAUGGCUCGGUGGAAACACUAGGAGACAUUUCCCGGUAAGAGAGGCUACUAAGGAUAGACAACUAGAUAGUCAGAUCCCACACAUACCAAGCAUUUCAAUAUCAUACACACAAUAUGCUCGAUAUGUGCAAAUACAUCAUGGCAGCACAACAUGACUCUACGACUCAAGUAUUUAUUCAUUAGGCUCCGAGGAGCGAGAUAUUACAAACAGGGGUCUCAUGACCCAACAUUCAAAGCAUACAAAUCAAGGCACAAGCGGAAGCUAACAUGUCUGAGUACAGACAUCUACAAAUGAAAAAGGCUUAGAAGGCUGACUAUCUACCAGAUCCUGUCGAGGGCACAAGAUCGUAGCUGAGGUAUCAAGCUAAACGUCGAAGUCCACGCGGAACUACUAACGAGACCGAAGUCUCUCUGCAAAAACAUAAAAUAGGCAAACGUGAGUACAAAUGUACCCAGCAAGACUUACAUCAGAACUAACUACAUAUGCAUCAUUAUCAACAAAGGGGAUGGUGGGGUUUAACUGCAGCAAGCCAGCUUUGACUCGGUGGCUAUCCUGAACUACUACUGCAAGUAACUCUUUUGAGGUGGCGCACACGAGUCCACAUAUUCACCAUAUCAAUACACCACUAUGGAUCCGCUCCGUCUCCCUACGAGAACGCCAUCCAUAGCACUCACGCUUAUCUUGCGUAUUUUAGAGUAUCCACUUUCACUUGUCUAUGAACUGUACAGGCAACCCAGAAGUCCUUUUCCGCGGACACGGCUAUUCGAAUAGAUAAUGUUAACCCUGCAGGGGUGUACUUCUUCACACACGCUCUCACCACUUACCGCCGUUUACACGACAUGUACUCGGCAACCUUCAAGCGGAAGCCCAACGUGGGUGUCGGCCACGGCCUACCUAAACACUCAAGUCUCUAGUCCAGGUUUAUCGCCUAUUCGGGUUCCAUCCAUGAGGAGAUCCGGCCGGAGUUUCGCUCACAGCCCCAAACGAUGUGAGCAGGGUUCCCAAGACACCAAACGGGCGCCCGGUACACCGUGCCACGUGCCUACCGCAUCACAGCACACCCCUUCGGUCAGCGCUGCGCACGGCCUCCAGCAUACUACAAACACCGGAAACUACUUGCAACUCCUGGACCAAGGACAAGGGUGAUUAAGAAGCCGAGAGGGUCCAUUGGUUUCGGGCCCAGUGCGUGGUAGUAGCUGAAUCAUGGAUCACAAACACAGAACUCAGUUCCUGAGGACGGCUACAAUGAGACAACCCACCAUGUACUCCUACAUGACCUCUCACCGUUACCUUUACCAAAUCGUGUUCACACACUUUGCUCACACAUACAGUAGGACAUGUUCACACACCUCUGAUUCAUCCCCGAUGAAUCAGACCUGACUCAACUCUAAGCAGUAGCAGGCAUGACAAACAAGCAUGAAUGAGUAGGCACAACAGGGCUCAAACAACUCCUACUCAUGCUAGUGGGUUUCAUCUAUUUACUGUGGAACGACAGGUCAUGCAAAGGAUAAAGGGGUUCAGCUACCGCAGCAAGUAACAGUUGAAUCGUUGUUGUCCUAAUGCAGUAAAAGAGAGCAGGAGCGAGAGAGUGGGGUUGUAUCGAAAUGAACAAGGCGGUUUUGCUUGCCUGGCACUUCUGAAGAUAAUAUAGUUCUUCAUCAGUGUCAUCGAACUCGUCGUCGGAACCACGUCUAUCGAGAGGGGACAAACACCGGCAACUAAGAAAGAACACAAUCAAUGCAAUGCCACAAUAUGAUGCAUGAUUAUGACAUGGCAAUAUGCUGUGAUUUGAGCUAAUGCACCUAGCUAUGAUUUAAAUGAAGUUGGUUUGAAUACAUGAUUCAAAUUCCAACUCCGUAUAUGAUUAUUUAAAUGCCCUUUAUUUGUUUUGUCCAAAACAGAGGACAAACAUUGUUUAAACAUGCAUGAAAAUGGUACAGAUGGAUUCCUUGAAUUUUUCUGAUAAUUUUUCAUAUAUAAUUUGUUUGAUUUGGAGCUACGGUUGAUUUUAUAUAAAUUUUAGAAGUUUGCAACAAUUUCUGGAAUUUCCUGAAUAAAAAUAAAUCCAGAAAUUAGUUAUUGCAUCAGCAGUGCGUCAGAGUGACGUCAGGGGGUCAACGGGGGCGUCCAGGUCAACCUGACCAGUGGGUCCCGCUUGUCAGUGUUGGGGAACGUUGCAGAAAACAAAAAUUUUCCUACGGUUUCACCAAGAUCCAUCUAUGAGUUCAUCUAGCAACGAGUGAUUAGAUGCAUCUACGUACCUCGUAGAUCGCGAGCGGAAGCGUUCAAAGAACGGGGAUGAUGUAGUCGAACACGACGUGAUUCGAAUCACCGGAGAUCCUAGCACCGAACGGACGGCACCUCCGCGUUCAACACACGUACGGAACAGCCACGUCUCCUCCUUCUUGAUCCAGCAAGGGGGGAGGAGAGGUUGAGGGAGAUGGCACCAGCAGCAGCACGACGGCGUGGUGUUGAUGGAGCUGCAGUACUCCGGCAGAGCUUCGCCAAGCGCUAUGGAGGAGGAGGAGGUGUUGGAGAGGGAGAAGGAGGCAACCAAAGGCCUAGGUGUGAAGUCCCUCCUUUCCCCCACUAUAUAUAGGAGGGCCAAGGGGGGGUGGCCGGCCCUAGGAGAUCCAAUCUCCUAGGGGGGGCGGCGGCCAAGGGGGGUUUCCCUCCCCCCCAAGGCACCUAGGAGGUGCCUUCCCCUCCUAGGACUCUUCCCCCUUAAACCCUAGGCGCAUGGGCCUAUGUUGGGGCUGGUGCCCUUGGCCCAUGUAGGCCAAGGCGCACCCCCUACAGCCCAUGUGGCCCCCCGGGGCAGGUGGACCCACCCGGUGGACCCCCGGGACCCUUCCGGUGGUCCCGGUACAAUACCGAUAACCCCGAAACUUGUCCCGAUGCCCGAAACAGGACUUCCCAUAUAUAAAUCUUUACCUCCGGACCAUUUCGGAACUCCUCGUGACGUCCGGGAUCUCAUCCGGGACUCCGAACAACAUUCGGGUUACUGCAUAUACAUAUCCCUACAACCCUAGCGUCACCGAACCUUAAGUGUGUAGACCCUACGGGUUCGGGAGACAUGUAGACAUGACCGAGAUCGCUCUCCGGUCAAUAACCAACAGCGGGAUCUGGAUACCCAUGUUGGCUCCCACACGCUCCACGAUGAUCUCAUCGGAUGAACCACGAUGUCGAGGAUUUAAGCAACCCCGUAUACAAUUCCCUUUGUCAAUCGAUAUGUUACUUGCCCGAGAUUCGAUCGUCGGUAUCCCAAUACCUCGUUCAAUCUCGUUACCGGCAAGUCACUUUACUCAUACCGUAAUGCAUGAUCCCGUGACCAGACACUUGGUCACUUUGAGCUCAUUAUGAUGAUGCAUCACCGAGUGGGCCCAGUGAUACCUCUCCGUCAUACGGAGUGACAAAUCCCAGUCUCGAUCCGUGUCAACCCAACAGACACUUUCGGAGAUACCUGUAGUGCACCUUUAUAGUCACCCAGUUACGUUGUGACGUUUGAUACACCCAAAGCACUCCUACGGUAUCCGGGAGUUACACGACCUCAUGGUCAAAGGAAAAGAUACUUGACAUUAGAAAAGCUCUAGCAAACGAACUACACGAUCUCACGCUAUGCUUAGGAUUGGGUCUUGUCCAUCACAUCAUUAUCCUAAUGAUGUGAUCCCGUUAUCAAUGACAUCCAAUGUCCAUAUCCAGGAAACCAUGACUAUCUAUUGAUCAACGAGCUAGUCAACUAGAGGCUUACUAGGGACAUGUUGGUGUCUGUUAUUCACACAUGUAUUACGAUUUCCGGAUAAUACAAUUAUAGCAUGAAUAAAGACAAUUAUCAUGAACAAAGAAAUAUAAUAAUAAUGCUUUUAUUAUUGCCUCUAGGGCAUAUUUCCAACAAUCAGUAGUUAAUUAGACUAACUAAUUUUGAUUAAACCUAAACUAGGUUAAUUAGCAGAGGGUCCCACCUAGUCAACUAAGUUAGCGGGGUCAAACCCGCCGGUCAACGGGUCAAGGCCUACCGGCGUUUAGCCGCCGGCGAAGCCAGACGCGGCGGCGCAGGUGCGGGUUUCACGUACAGGGCACCACUCGGGGCGCCGUUGGGCUCUAAGGGUAGCUGGGAGCGAACCGCGACGGGUGGUGCAGGUGGUUGGGCUCGGGGUCACCGGAAAAGUGGCCGGCGACGAGGUUUGGCGGCGGCAGCAGGUCGGGCAAGCUUGGGGUGGCGCUACAGAGCACGGGAGGAGGCGCUGUGGGUGUCUACGGGCUCAUGAGAUCGUGCUGGGCACGAUGGUGGGCUCGGGAACGAGCUACGGUGGCUGUGGCCAUGACGGCGACGUGCGGUGGCGGCGGCAGGUGCGGCCGAGCUCGGUGCUGUUGUUGUGGUGCUCGAGAGCGAGAACGGGAAGGGCAAGGAGGAAGAGGAGCUCACGAGGAGUCGGUUGAAACAGACGGUGAGCUCGAGGAGGGGCUGGUGAGGUCGUGCGGCCGCUGGCGAUCUCGGGGCAGAAACGGCGAAGAUGGCGGGGCAGAGGGUGAUGCAGGGCGUCCGGCGUCGGGCGGCUCGGUGAGGAGGAGGAGAGGGACUAGCCGGAGCUCGUGGGCAGCUCCAGGGGCGAGGGAGAGGCAGUGGCGUCGACUACGGUGGCGGCGGCUUAUGGGCGCGUCGGUCGUAGCGGGAGAGGACGAGGGAGAGGCCAGAGGAGGGGAGAGUGAUGUCCAGGGGGUCGAGGCGGCGCCGAGGAGAAGAUGCGAGGCGUCGCGGUGGCCAGGCGACGCAGGCAGGCAGCCUGGUGGCGUGGCGCCUGCGCGCGCGCCGUGCGUUGUCCCUCCUCUGCCUACUAGCAGAGGUUGGGGAUGACUGGCACCAGGCCAGGUGGGCUGGGCCAGCACAGGUGAGGCCCAGGUGGGCUUGGUGGGCGCCAGGUAAGUUCUCUCUUUCCUUUUGUUCCAGUUUUUCUAUUUCUUUUAUUCUGUUUUGAAUUAGUGAAAAUACUAAUCCAUUUUGUAAAAUCCUGAAAAUAAUUUUGGGCACUAUUUGAAAUAUAUGCAACAGCCCUCAUUUAGUUUCAGAAUUAUUUAAGCAUUUAAAUUAUUUAUAGCAUUUAAAUGCCCAAAUUCAAAUACUUUAUGAAUUAAUUCAAAAAUCCAAAAAUGGACCUAGAAAUAUGUGCAUCAUUUUUGGCAGAGGUUUUAAACCAAUCCAAAAAUGAUGAACUUUUCUGAAGGACAUUUUGGGUUCAUUGAGAAUAGUUGUAUUUGAACCUAGUUAAUUUAAUCUGGUGCUAGGGUUUGAGCAAUCCCCAUUUCAAAUUUCAAAUAAAUUUAGACAUGAUGCAGCAACCAAGCUAGUCCAAGUGCAUAGCAAGGCUAGGGACGUGACAUCUUGACUAGCUCGUUUAUCAAAGAUGGUUAUGUUUCCUAGCCAUGGACAAAAGAGUUGUCAUUUGAUUAACGGGAUCACAUCAUUAGGAGAAUGAUGUGAUUGACUUGACCCAUUCCAUUAGCUUAGCAAUUGAUCGUUUAGUAUGUUGCUAUUGCUUUCUUCAUGACUUAUACAUGUUCCUGUAACUAUGAGAUUAUGCAACUCCCGUUUACCGGAGGAACACUUUGGGUGCUACCAAACGUCACAACGUAACUGGGUGAUUAUAAAGGAGUACUACAGGUGUCUCCAAAGGUACAUGUUGGGUUGGCAUAUUUCGAGAUUAGGAUUUGUCACUCCGAUUGUCGGAGAGGUAUCUCUGGGCCCUCUCGGUAAUGCACAUCACUAUAAGCCUUGCAAGCAAUGUGACUAAUGAGUUUAGUUGCGGGAUGAUGCAUUACGUAACGAGUAAAGAGACUUGCCGGUAAUGAGAUUGAACUAGGUAUUGAGAUACCGACGAUCGAAUCUCGGGCAAGUAACAUACCGAUGACAAAGGGAACAACGUAUGUUGUUAUGCGGUUUGACCGAUAAAGAUCUUCAUAGAAUAUGUAGAAGCCAAUAUGAGCAUCCAGGUUCCGCUAUUGGUUAUUGACCGAGAAUAGUUCUAGGUCAUGUCUACAUAGUUCUCGAACCCGUAGGGUCCGCACGCUUAACGUUAUGAUGACAGUUUUAUUAUCAGUUUAUAAGUUUUGAUGUACCGAAGGAGUUCGGAGUCCCGGAUGAGAUCGGAGACAUGACGAGGAGUCUCAAAAUGGUCGAGACGUAAAGAUCGAUAUAUUGGACGACUAUAUUCAGACUUCGGAAAGGUUCCGAGUGAUUCGGGUAUUUAUCGGAGUACCGGAGAGUUACGGGAAUUCGCCGGGGAGAAGUAUUGGGCCUUAUUGGGCCAUACGGGAAAGAGAGAGGGGCUGCCUUGGGCAGCCCCCCCCCCCCCAAGGCCUAGUCCGAAUUGGACUAGGGGGAGGGGCCGCACCCCCUCCUUCCUUCCCUUCUCUCUUCCCUUUCCUUCUCUCCUACUCCUACUACAUGGAAGGGCUCCUAGUUCUACUAGGAAAGGGGGAAUCCUACUGCCGGUGGGAGUAGGACUCCCCUAGGGCACGCCAUAGAGAGGGCCGGCCCUCCCCCUCCUCCUUUAUAUACGGGGGCAGGGGCACCCCAUAGACACACAAGUUGAUCUACGGAUCAUUCCUUAGCCGUGUGCGGUGCCCCCCUCCACCAUAUUCCACCUCGGUCAUAUCGUCGCGGAGUUUAGGCGAAGCCCUGUGCCGGUAGAACAUCAUCAUCGUCACCACGCCGUCGUGCUGACGGAACUCAUCCCUGAAGCUUUGCUGGAUCGGACCCCGGGGAUCGUCAUCGAGCUGAACGUGUGCUGAACUCGGAGGUGCCGUACGUUCGGUGCUUGGAUUGGUCGGAUCGUGAAGACGUACGACUACAUCAACCGCGUUGUCAUAACACUUCCGCUUACGGUCUACGAGGGUACGUGGACAAUACUCUCCCCUCUCGUUGCUAUGCCAUCACCAUUGUAACGCCCCGGAUUCGAUGCGCCAGGUGUCUGCCAGUUAUUCGCCGCCGUUGCCAUGUCAUUUGCUUGCGUGUUGCAUUUUAUCAUGUCAUCAUGUGCAUCUCAUUUCGCAUUCAUGUUCGUCUCAUGCAUCCGAGCUUUUUCCCCGUUGUCCGUUUUGCAAUCCGGCACUCCUAUGUCCUCCGGCGUCCCCCCUUUUGUCUCUCGUUGUGAGCGGGUAUUAAUCAUUCUCAGAAUGGACCGAGGUUUGCCAAGCGGCCUUGGUAUAGCACCGGUAGACCGCCUGUCAAGUUUCGUGCCAUUUGGAGCUCGUUUGGUACUCCAACGGUUAACCGGGUAACCGUAAAGGCCUCUUUUGUGUGCAGCCCAACACCCCUUCCAAAGUGGCCCAAAACCCAUCUAACUCCCCUCCAUGCUCUCGGUCGUUCGAUCACGAUCGCGUGGCCGAAAACCGCUUCUCAUUUGGACUCUCCUAGCUCCCUCCACCUAUAAAAACGCCCUCUCCCCCUCCAUUUUUGGGUCCAAACCCUAGUCCAUCUCCCUCCGCGCCGCCGGACGCGUCCGUCCGCGCCGGACACGUCCGCCAACCACGUCCCUCCGUCCAAUGGCAUCGCGCCACGUCGCCUCCGCCGCCGUCUCCUCCAACCCGCNNNNNNNNNNNNNNNNNNNNNNNNNNNNNNNNNNNNNNNNNNNNNNNNNNNNNNNNNNNNNNNNNNNNNNNNNNNNNNNNNNNNNNNNNNNNNNNNNNNNNNNNNNNNNNNNNNNNNNNNNNNNNNNNNNNNNNNNNNNNNNNNNNNNNNNNNNNNNNNNNNNNNNNNNNNNNNNNNNNNNNNNNNNNNNNNNNNNNNNNNNNNNNNNNNNNNNNNNNNNNNNNNNNNNNNNNNNNNNNNNNNNNNNNNNNNNNNNNNNNNNNNNNNNNNNNNNNNNNNNNNNNNNNNNNNNNNNNNNNNNNNNNNNNNNNNNNNNNNNNNNNNNNNNNNNNNNNNNNNNNNNNNNNNNNNNNNNNNNNNNNNNNNNNNNNNNNNNNNNNNNNNNNNNNNNNNNNNNNNNNNNNNNNNNNNNNNNNNNNNNNNNNNNNNNNNNNNNNNNNNNNNNNNNNNNNNNNNNNNNNNNNCGAAUGAAUCCUCACGAUUGCAACGAAACGGGAACUAUCGAGAAGAAGCACACAACAUAGUAAACACACCACACAUGACAAGACAUGAUGCACAACAAGCAUGAUGCAUGACAAAGCUACAUUGAGCUACUCAUGGCAAGAGAUGAAGCAUACAAGAGCAACACAUCAAGGCAAGUUUAAAUAAGGCCGGGAACAACAUAUAACAAUUUCGGUAAGUCCUCAUGUGCAUAUUUCGAAAUUGGUCCAGAACUGAAUAAACCUUAUGUUCAAGUUAUUAAACAGCAAGUUAAAGAUCACCAAGAUGAUCUACACGAAAUUCUAGUCAAGUUACAUAUAAAGUUCAUUUAAUUCGGAGCUACGGCCUAGAAGAUAUGAGCAAAACAAGUUCAACAUGGCAUUGAUGCAAAAUGCACCCAAACAUCAAGCAAACACCUCAAAACAAGGAUGCAAUAUGAUAAUAUGAAUCUACAUGCAAAAACAAGCAAGUUUCAUAUAGAGCACACUCAAAACGGAGCAACGGUGCAACACACACACACUAUACAAGUCAUAACAACAAUCUGUCCAUAACAGCAUCUAGGCAUCUUGCAAGCAUCAAAACAAUAAACUAAAGCACCCCAACAUAAUAACAAAAGGCAUGGGCAUAAAGUACAGGUAAAGCAUAACAAAACAUGAACACUGAGCUAUCUCCAGAAAUCACUAGAACAUGCUCCAAAACACAUGGUAAGAUUGCAAAUAAUAACAGUUUCAAACUUUAGCAGAAAUAAUAUCAGGUUGCAAUGUUUAGAGCUAUCAAACAACAUAUUAUAGGAACAUAUCAUGGCAAACAAAGGCAUGGCAUGAAUCUACUAAUUGCAUAGAUCAAAAGUCCCUUACUGACCAUGAGCCAAAAAGGAUCAGAAAAUAUGAUGGCACCCAUGUAAACAUGGCAAGUUAUAUUACAGAUUCAAACAUGGCAGAAACAACAAUAAGUAGGCAUGUUGGUGAGCUUGUACCACCCACCACAGAGCAAAGCAUGGCAUGGCAAGGCACCCAACAGUAAGAAGGCAUGUUUAUGAAGCUAAGCAUGGCAAGAUCAAGGUCAUAGGGGGCAUGGAACACUAGCAAAACACAUGGGAACUAGUGAACUUAAUGUUAACAGGCUGAUAGCAACAUUAUCAAGCAACUUUGGAGCAAGAUAUGAACAAUCUACAGCAAGCUAUAAAUGCAACCAGGGGCAUGGAUGGAUAGGGCAUAACAUGUAGAUCAAAACAUGUUUAUAGAACAUCUCCAGAUUAUACACGAAAUGACUAGUAGAAGCAUGUUUACAUAGCAACAAAAUAUAACAGAAUCUGUCAGGAAAACAGCAAAAGCAACUAUCCUACUUAGCAAGCUUGAUACACUCAGCACACAACUCACAAAAAUACAUGACAAGCACCUCUGGAAAGAUGGCAUAGCAUAGAUCAACAUACAUGUAGGCAUCAACCUCAUAGGAUGCACACAUCAAUCAUGGCAAAAAUGAUAAAUGAGCAAGUUAUAACAGUUUCAGCAGAUUAACAUCAACAUGCACUCUUCCAACAGAAUUUUGGGCACCAAGAUGAGCUCAAAUUAAAAUGAUGCAAUGGAAUGAAAUGAAGUACUCAUCGAGGCGAACAAUUUGACAUAUUGUACGUACGAAACGGAGCUACGGAUGCAGAGAUGUGAUGCGAUGAAUAUGGCAUGUUUAUGCAAAAAUCCUGAGGACUUAGACGAAUUUGGAGGUCAACCUUAGGGUUUCUCAGAUCCGAUCUGGAUCCGGGCGCGCCGCCGCCCCGCCGNNNNNNNNNNNNNNNNNNNNNNNNNNNNNNNNNNNNNNNNNNNNNNNNNNNNNNNNNNNNNNNNNNNNNNNNNNNNNNNNNNNNNNNNNNNNNNNNNNNNNNNNNNNNNNNNNNNNNNNNNNNNNNNNNNNNNNNNNNNNNNNNNNNNNNNNNNNNNNNNNNNNNNNNNNNNNNNNNNNNNNNNNNNNNNNNNNNNNNNNNNNNNNNNNNNNNNNNNNNNNNNNNNNNNNNNNNNNNNNNNNNNNNNNNNNNNNNNNNNNNNNNNNNNNNNNNNNNNNNNNNNNNNNNNNNNNNNNNNNNNNNNNNNNNNNNNNNNNNNNNNNNNNNNNNNNNNNNNNNNNNNNNNNNNNNNNNNNNNNNNNNNNNNNNNNNNNNNNNNNNNNNNNNNNNNNNNNNNNNNNNNNNNNNNNNNNNNNNNNNNNNNNNNNNNNNNNNNNNNNNNNNNNNNNNNNNNNNNNNNNNNNNNNNNNNNNNNNNNNNNNNNNNNNNNNNNNCCGCGCCCGCCGGCGCCCGGCGCGCCGCCGACCGUCCCCGCGCCGGCGCUCGCCGGCGCCCGGCGCGCCGCCGACCGUCCCCGCGCCGGCGCUCGCCGCCACCCGCGCCUCGUGUGCCUCUGCCGCGCCGGCUCCCGGCCGGCCCGCGCCCCGCCGUCAGCCCGCGCGCCCCGCCGCCUCCUCCUCGUCCCCGGCCAGAUCCGGCGAGGAUCCGGCCAGAUCCGCCGCCCCCCGCCCGUUCUCCGGCGAGAACUCCGGCCCCACCUCGGCAUCCGUGCCCGCAGGUUGACUUUCCCCCGAAAUGCCUAAGUCCCCGUUUCAUUUACAUAAUCAUGCCAUGUUUGACCUGCUGUAUCUCUGCAUCCGUAGCUCCGUUUCGUGCGUAUAAUAUGUCAAAUUGUUCGUCUCGAUGAGUACUUCAUUUCAUUCCAUUGCAUCAUUUUCAUUUGAGUUCAUCUUGAUGCCCGAAAUGCUGUUGGAAGAGUGCAUGUUGAUGUUAAUCUGCUGAAACUGUUAUAACUUGCUCAUUUAUCAUUUUUGCCAUGAUUGAUGUGUGCAUCCUAUGAGGUUGAUGUCUACAUGUAUGUUGAUCCAUGCCAUGCCGUCUUUCCAGGGGUGUUAACCAUGUAUUUUUGUGAGUUGUGUGCUGAGUGUAUCAGCUUGCUAAGUAGGGUAGUUGCUGUUGCUGUUUUCCUGACAGAUUCUGUUAUAUUUUGUUGUUAUGUAAACAUGCUUCUACUAAUCAUUGUGUGCAUAAUAUGGAGAUGUUCUAUAAGCAUGUUUUGAUCUACAUGUCUUUCUCUAUCCAUUCAUGCCCUUGGCUACAAUUAUAGCCUGCUGUAUCAUGUUGUAAUCUUGCUCCAAAGUUGCUUGAAAAUGUUGCUGUCAACCUGUUUAACAUGAAGUUCACUUGUUCCCAUGUGAUUUGCUAGUGAUCCAUGUAUCCUAUGAACUUGUUCUUGCCAUGCUUAGCUUCAUAAACAUGUCUCCUUACUGUUGGUUGCCUUGCCAUGCCAUGUAUUGCUCUGUGGUGAGUGGUUCAAGCUCACGAACAUGCCUACUUAUUGUUGUUCCUGCCAUAUAGGAAUCUGUAAUAUAACUUGCCAUGUUUACAUGGGUGCCAUCAUAUUUUCUGUGACCUUUUGGCUCAUGGUCAGUAAGGGACUGUUGUUCUAUGCAUUUAGUAGUAUCAUGCCAUGCCUUUGUUUGCCAUGAUAUGUUCCUGUAGUAUGUUGUUUGAUAGCUCUAAACAUUGCAACCUGAUGUUAUUUCUGCUAAAGUCUGAAACUGUUAUUAUUUGCAAUAUCUCCAUGUGUUUUUGAGCAUGUUCUAGUUGUUUCUGGAGAUAGCUCAGUGUUCAUGUUUUGUUAUGCUUUACCUGUACUUCAUGCCCAUGUCUUUUGUUUUUAUGUUGGGGUGCUGUAGCAUGUUGUUUUGAUGCUUGUAAGAUGCCUAGUUGCUAUUAUGGACAGAUUGUUGUUAUGACUCGUAUAGUGUGCAUGUGUUGAACUGUUUCUCCGUUUUGAGUGUGCUCUAUAUGAAACUUGCUUGAUUUUGCAUGUAGUUUCAUAUUACCAUGUUGCAUCUUUGUUCUGGUGUGUUUGCUUGAUGUUUGGGUGCAUUUUGCAUCAAUGCCAUGCUUAACUUGUUUUGCUCAUAUCUUCUAGGCCGUAGUUCCGAAUCUAAUGAACUUUAUAUGUAACUUGACUAGAAUCUCGUGUAGAUCAUCUUGGUGAAUCUUAACUUGCUGUUUAACAACUUGAACAUAAGGUUUAUUCAGUUCUGGACCAAUUUCGAAAUUUGCAUAUGAGGACUUACCGGAAUUGUUAUAUGUUGUUCCCGGCCUCAUUUAAACUUGCCUUGAUGUGUUGUUCUUGUUUGCAUCAUCUCUUGCCAUGAGUAGCUUCAUGUAGCUUUGUCAUGCAUCAUGCUUGUUGUGCAUCAUGUCUUGUUCAUGUGUGGUGUGUUUACCAUGUUGUGUGCUUCUUCUUGUUAGUUCCUGUUUCGUUGCGAUCGUGAGGAUUCGUUCAUCUACGGUUGGUUCGGCUUCAUCCGUUCGUCUUCUUCAUGGACUCGUUCUUCUUCCUUGCGGGAUUUCAGGCAAGAUGACCUCUACCCUGGAUCUCACUACUAUCAUUGCUAUGCUAGUUGUUUCGUUCUAUCGCUAUGCUGCGCUACCUAUUACCUGUUUAUCAAGCCAUCCUAUGUUGCCAUGAACCCCUAACCUUUGACACCUUUCCUAUGCAAACCGUUGUUUGGCUAUGUUACCGCUUUGCUCAGCCCUUCUUAUAGCGUUGCUAGCUGCAGGUGAAGUUGAAGAUUUUCUCCAUGGUGGACAGGGUUUAUGUUGGCAUAUCACAAUAUCUCUUAUAUUAUUAAUGCAUCUAUAUAUCUGGUAAAGGGUGGAAGGCUCAGCCUUAUGCCUGGUGUUUUGUUCCACUCUUGCCGCCCUAGUUUCCGUCAUACCGGUGUUAUGUUCCCGGAUUUUGCGUUCCUAACGCGGUCGGGUGAUUUAUGGGACCCCCCUGACAGUUCGCUUUGAAUAAAACUCCUCCAGCAAGGCCCAACAUUGGUUUUACCAUUUGCCUCACCACCACCUAUAUUUCCCUUGGGAGUAAUUAACCCAAGGGUCAUCUUUAUUCAGCCCCCCCGGGCCAAUGCUUGUCUAAGUGUUGGUCCAAACUAGAGCCCUUUGCAGCGCCCCCUCAGGGAAACUUGAGGUCUGGUUUUAGUUGUACGGACUGCUCAUCCGGUCGUGGCCUGAGACGAGAUACGCGCGGCUACUAUCAGGAUGUAGGCACGCCGGGAGGUCUUGCUGGUCUUGUUUUACCAUUGUCGAAAUGUCUUGUAAACCGGGAUUCCGAGACUGAUCGGGUCUUCCUAGGAGAAGGUAUAUUCCUUCGUUGAUCGCGAGAGCUUGUCAUGGGCUAAGUUGGGACACCCCUGUAGGGUAUAAACUUUUGAGAGCCAUGGCCGCGGUUAUGUGGCAGAUGGGAAUUUGUUAAUGUCCGGUUGUAGAUAACUUGACACCAGAUCCGAAUUAAAACGCAUCAACCGAGUGUGUAGCCGUGAUGGUCUCUUCUCGGCGGAGUCCGGGAAGUGAACACGGUUUCUGUGUUAUGUUUGACGUAAGUAGGAGUUCAGGAUCACCUCUUGAUCAUUGCUAGUUUCACGACCGUUCCUUUUGCUCUCUUCUCGCUCUCUUUUGCGGAUGUUAGCCACCAUAUCAUGCUUAGUCGCUGCUGCAACCUCACCACUUUACCCCUUCCUUUCCCAUUAAGCUUUGCUAGUCUUGAUACCCAUGGUAAUGGGAUUGCUGAGUCCUCGUGGCUCACAGAUUACUACAACAAUAGUUGCAGGUACAGGUUAUGCGAUGAUCUUGACGCGAGAGCGAUGUUUGCUUGUUUGGAGUUCUUCUUCUGCUUCUUCUUCGAUCAGGGGAUAGAUUCCAGGUCGGCAGCCUGGGCUAGCAGGGUGGAUAUCGUUUGAGCUUCUGUUUGUGUUUCAUCCGUAGUCGGAUGAUGCUCUGAUGUAUUGUGAUGUAUUAUUGUAUUCGUGUGGCAUUGUAUGCCUUAUGUAUGUAUCCCCAUCUAUUAUGUAAUGUUGAUGUAAUGAUAUCCACCUUGCAAAAGCGUUCCAAUAUGCGGGUCUAUCCUUGGUGGGACCUUCGAGUUCCUUUUGGAUAGGGUCGCAUAUUGGGUGUGACAACCAUGAUCUUGCGUGUGCGUAGGAUUUUUUUUUUGAAAUUACUAUGUUCCCCAACAGUGGCAUCCGAGCCUAGGUUUUAUGCGUUGAUGUUAUAUGCACGAGUAGAACACAAGUGAGUUGUGGGCGAUACAAGUCAUACUGCUUACCAGCAUGUCAUACUUUGGUUCGACGGUAUUGUUGGAUGAAGCGGCCCGGACCGACAUUACGCGUACGCUUACGUGAGACUGGUUCUACCGACGUGCUUUGCACACAGGUGGCUGGCGGGUGUCAGUUUCUCCAACUUUAGUUGAACCGAAUGUGGCUACGCCCGGUCCUUGCGAAGGUUAAAACAGCACUAACUUGACAAACUAUCAUUGUGGUUUUGAUGCGUAGGUAAGAACGGUUCUUUCUCAGCCCGUAGCAGCCACGUAAAAUUUGCAACAACAAAGUAGAGGACGUCUAACUUGUUUUUGCAGGGCAUGUUGUGAUGUGAUAUGGUCAAGACGUGAUGAGAUAUAAGUUGUUGUAUGAAAUGAUCAUGUUUUGUUGAAGUUAUCGGCAACUGGCAGAAGCCAUAUGGUUGUCUCUUUGUUGCAUAAAGAUGCAAGUGCCAAAUAAUUGCUUUACUUUAUCGCUAUGUGAUAGCAAUAGUUGCAAGAGCAAUAGUUGGCGAGACGACCAUGUGACGACACAUUGAUAUAGAUCAAGAUGAUGAAGAUCAUGGUGUCGUGCCGGUGACGAUAGAGAUCAUGACAGUACUUUGGAGAUGGAGAUCAAAGGCGCAAUAUGAUCAUGGCCAUAUCAUAUCUCAUAUUUUAAUUGCAUAUGAUGUUUAUCUGUUAUACAUCUUAUUCUGUUUUGAUUGACGGUAGCAUUUUAGGAUGAUCUCUCACUAAAUUAUCAAGAAGUGUUCUCCCUGAGUAUGCACCGUUGCCAAAGUUCGUCGUGCCCAGACACCACGUGAUGAUCGGGUGUGAUAAGCUCAACGUCCAUCUACAACGGGUGCAAGCCAGUUUUGCACACGCAGAAUCCUCAGGUUAAACUUGACGAGCCUAGCAUAUGCAGAUAUGGCCUCGGAACACGGAGAUCGAAAGGUCGAGCGUGAAUCAUAUAGUAGAUAUGAUCAACAUAUUGAUGUUCACCGUUGAAACUACUCCAUCUCACAUGACGAUCAGACAUGGUGUAGUUGAUAUGGAUCACGUAAUCACUUAGAAGAUUAGAGGGAUGUCUAUCUAAGUGGGAGUUCUUAAGUAAUAUGAUUAAUUGAACUUAAAUUUAUCAUGAACUUAGUCCUGGUAGUAUUUUGCAAAUUAUGUUGUAGAUCAAUAGCUCGCAUUGUUGCUUUCAUGUGUUUAUUUUGAUAUGUUCCUAGAGAAAACUGUGUUGAAAGAUGUUAGUAGCAAUGAUGCGGAUUGGAUCCGUGAUCUGAGGUUUAUCCUCAUUGCUGCACAGAAGAAUUAUGUCCUUAAUGCACCGCUAGGUGACAAACCUAUUACAGGAGCAGAUGUAGACGUUAUGAACGUUUGGCUAGCUCAAUAUGAUGACUACUUGAUAGUUUAGUGCACCAUGCUUAACGGCUUAGAAUCGGGACUUCAAAGACGUUUUGAACGUCAUGGACCAUAUGAGAUGUUCCAGGAAUUGAAGUUAAUAUUUCAAGCAAAUACCCGAGUUGAGAGAUAUGAAGUCUCCAACAAGUUCUAUAGCUAAAAGAUGGAGGAGAAACGCUCAACUAGUGAGCAUGUGCCCAGAUUGUCUGGGUACUUCAAUCGCUUGAAUCAAGUGGGAGUUAAUCUUCCAGAUAAGAUAGUGAUUGACAAAAUUCUCUAGUCACCAUCACUAAGUUACUAGAACUUCGUGAUGAACUCUAGUAUGCAAGGGAUGACAAAAACGAUUCCCGAGCUCUUCGUGAUGUUGAAAUCAACGAAGGUAGAAAUCAAGAAAGAGCAUCAAGUGUUGAUGAUUGACAAGACCACUAGUUUCAAGAAAAGGGCAAAGGGAAAGAAAUGGAAACUUCAAGUAGAAUGGCAAACAAGUUGUCACUCCCAUGAAGAAUACCAAAGCUGGACCAAAGCCUGAAACUGUGUUUACACUGCAAAGGAAAUGGUCACUGGAAGCGGAAAUGCUCUAAAUAUUUGAUGGAUAUGAAGGAUGGCAAAGUGAACAAGGGUAUAUUUGAUAUACAGGUGUUUGAUGUGUGCCUUACUAGUGUUUAUAGUAGCCCCUGAGUAUUUGAUACUUGUUCAGUUGCUAAGAUUAGUAACUCAAAACAGGAGUUACAGAAUAAACACAGACUAGUUGAAGGGUGAAGUGACGAUGAGUGUUGGAAGUAGUUCCAAGAUUGAUAUGAUCAUCAUCGUACACUCCCUAUACUUUCGAGAUUAAUGUUAAACCUAAAUAAAUGUUAUUUGGCGUUUGCGUUGAGCAUGAAUAUGAUUUGAUCAUGUUUAUUGCAAUACGGUUAUUCAUUUAAAGUCAAAGAAUAAUUGUUGUUCUAUUUACAUGAAUAAAACCCUCAAUGGUCAUACACCCAAUGAAAAUAGUUUGUUGGAUCUCGAUUGUAGUGAUACACAUAUUCAUAAUAUUGAUGCCAAAAGAUGCAAAGUUAAUAAUGAUAGUGCAACCUAUUAGUGGCACUACCGUUUAAGUCAUAUUGGUGUAAAGCGCAUGAAGAAACUCCAUGCUGAUGGGAUUUCGGAAUCACUUGAUUAUGAAUCAUUUGAUGCUUGCGAACCGUGCCUUUUGGGCAAGAUGACUAAAACUCCGUUCUCCGGAACAAUGGAACGAGCUACUGACUUAUUGGAAAUAGUACAUACCGAUGUAUGGGAUCCAAUGAGUGUUGAUGCUCGUGGAAAGUAUCAUUAUUUUCUGACCUUCACAAGAUGAUUUGAGCAGAUAUGGGUAUAUCUACUUGAUGAAACAUAAGUAUGAAAUAGUUGGAAGGUUCAAAGAAUUUCAGAGUGAAGUAGAAAAAUCAUCGUAACAAGAAAAUAAAGUUUCUGUCAUCUGAUCGCGGAGACGAAUAUUUGAGUUACGAGUUUGGUCUUCAAAUAAAACAAUGUGGAAUAGUUUCACAGCUCACGCCACCUGGAACACCACAACGUUAUGGUGUGUCCGAACGUCGUAACCGCACUUUAUUGGAUAUGGUGCGAUCUAUGAUGUCUGUUAUCGGUUUACCACUAUUGUUUUGGGUUUGUGCAUUAGAGACAGCUGCAUUCACGUUAAAAGGGAACCAUCUAAAUCCGUUGAGACGACAGCAUAUGAACUGUGGUUUAGCAAGAAACCCAAGUUGUCGUUUCUUAAAGUUUGGGGCUGCGAUGCUUAUGUGAAAAAGUUUCAUCUUGAUAAGCUCAAACCCAAAUUGGAGAAGUGCAUCUUCAUAGAAUACCCAAAGGAAACUGAUGGGUACACCUUCUAUCACAGAUCCGAAGGCAAGAUAUUCGUUGCUAAAAAUGGAUCAUUUCUAGAGAAGGAGUUUCUCUCGAAAGAAGUGAGUGGGAGGAAAGUAGAACUUGAUGAGGUAACUGUACCUUCUCCCGAAUUGGAAAAUAGUUCAUCACUAAAAUCAGUUCCAGUGAUUCCUACACCAAUUAGUGAGGAAGCUAAUGAUGAUGAUCAUGAAACUUCAGAUCAAGUUACUACAGAACUGUUGGAAAUAUGCCCUAGAGGCAAUAAUAAAAGUAUUAUUAUUAUAUUUCCUUGUUCAUGAUAAUUGUCUUUUAUUCAUGCUAUAACUGUAUUAUCCGGAAAUCGUAAUACACGUGUGAAUACAUAGACCACAAUAUGUCCCUAGUGAGCCUCUAGUUGACUAGCUCGUUGUGAUCAACAGAUAGUCAUGGUUUCCUGGCUAUGGACAUUGGAUGUCAUUGAUAACGGGAUCACAUCAUUAGGAGAAUGAUGUGAUGGACAAGACCCAAUCCUAAGACUAGCACAAAAGAUCGUGUAGUUCAUUUGCUAGAGCUUUGCCAAUGUCAAGUAUCUCUUCCUUCGACCAUGAGAGCGUGUAACUCCUGGAUACCGUAGGAGUGCUUUGGGUGUAUCAAACGUCACAACGUAACUGGGUGACUAUAAAGGUGCACUACAGGUAUCUCCGAAAGUAUCUAUUGUUUUAUGCGGAUCGAGACUGGGAUUUGUCACUCCGUGUAAACGGAGAGGUAUCUCUGGGCCCACUUGGUAGGACAUCAUCAUAUGCGCAAUGUGACCAAGGAGUUGAUCACGGGAUGAUGUGUUACGGAACAAGUAAAGUGACUUGCCGGUAACGAGAUUGAACAAGGUAUUGGAUACCGACGAUCGAGUCUCGGGCAAGUAACAUACCGAUAGACAAAGGGAAUUGAAUACGGGAUUGAAUAAGUCCUUGACAUCGUGGUUCAUCCGAUGAGAUCAUCGUGGAACAUGUGGGAGCCAUCAUGGGUAUCCAGAUACCGCUGUUGGUUAUUGACCGGAGAACGUCUCGGUCAUGUCUGCAUGUCUCCCGAACCCGUAGGGUCUACACACUUAAGGUUCGAUGACGCUAGGGUUAUAAAGGAAGCUUGUAUGUGGUUACCGAAUGUUGUUCGGAGUCCCGGAUGAGAUCCCGGACGUCACGAGGAGUUCCGGAAUGGUCCAGAGGUAAAGAUUUAUAUAUGGGAAGUCCUGUUUUGGUCACCGGAAAAGUUUUGGGCGAUAUCGGUAUUGUACCGGGACCACCGGGAGGGUCCCGGGGGUCCACCAAGUGGGGCCACCUGCCCCAGAAGGCUGCGUGGGCCAAGUGUGGGAGGGUACCAGCCCCUAGGAGGGCUGGUGCGCCCCCCACAAGGGGGCCAAGGCGCAAGAGAGAGUGGGAGGGGGCAAACCCUAGUCCAGAUGGGCCUUAAGGCCCAUAUUGGUGCGCCUCCCUCUCCUCUCCCCCUCUUGGCCGCCUCCCCAAGUCCCAUCUAGGGCUGGCCGCACCCCUUGGGGUGGGAAACCCUAAAGGGGGCGCAGCCCCCUUCUCCCCUAUAUAAAUAGAGGCCUGGGGCUGCCCAUAAUACAUGAGAACUUCUCCUCUCGUUGGUGCAGCCCUGCCUCUCCUCCUCCUCCUCUCCCAUGGUGCUUGGCGAAGCCCUGCUGGAUUGCCACGCUCCUCCAUCACCACCACGCCGUUGUGCUGCUGUUGGAUGGAGUCUUCCUCAACCUCUCCCUCUCUCCUUGCUGGAUCAAGGCGUGGGAGACGUCACCGGGCUGUACGUGUGUUGAACGCGGAGGUGCCGUCCGUUCGACACUUGAUCAUCGGUGAUUUGAAUCACGACGAGUACGACUCCAUCAACCCCGUUCACUUGAACGCUUCCGCUUAGCGAUCUACAAGGGUAUGUUGAUGCACUCUCUUUCUACUCGUUGCUGGUUUCUCCAUAGAUAGAUCUUGGUGACGCGUAGGAAAAUUUUGAAUUUCUGCUACGUUCCCCAACAGUGGCAUCAUGAGCUAGGUCUAUUGCGUAGAUUCUUUGCACGAGUAGAACACAAAGUAGUUGUGGGCGUUAAUGUUGUUCAAUAUGCUUACCGUUACUAGUCCAAUCUUGUUUCGACGGUAUUGUGGGAUGAAGCGGCCCGGACCGACCUUACACGUACUCUUACGUGAGACAGGUUCCACCGAUUAACAUGCACUUGGUGCAUAAGGUGGCUAGCGGGUGCCAGUCUCUCCCACUUUAGUCGGAACGGAUUCGAUGAAAAGGGUCCUUAUGAAGGGUAAAUAGCAAUUGGCAUAUCACGUUGUGGUUUUGCGUAGGUAAGAAACGUUCUUGCUAGAAACCCAUAGCAGCCACGUAAAACAUGCAAACAACAAUUAGAGGACGUCUAACUUGUUUUUGCAGGGUAUGCUUUGUGAUGUGAUAUGGCCAACAAGAAUGUGGUGAAUAAUAUGUGAUGUAUGAGAUUGAUCAUGUUCUUGUAAUAGGAUUCACGACUUGCAUGUCGAUGAGUAUGAAAACCGGCAGGAGCCAUAGGAGUUGUCUUUAUUUAUUGUAUGACCUGCAUGUCAUUGAACAACGCCAUGUAAAUUACUUUACUUUAUUGCUAAACGCGUUAGCCAUAGAAGUAGAAGUAGUCGUUGGCGUGACAACUUCAUGAAGACACGAUGAUGGAGAUCAUGAUGAUGGAGAUCAUGGUGUCAUGCCGGUGACGAUGAUGAUCAUGGAGCCCCGAAGAUGAAGAUCAAAAGGAGCAAAAUGAUAUUGGCCAUAUCAUGUCACUUUUUGAUUGCAUGUGAUGUUUAUCAUGUUUAUGCAUCUUGUUUACUUAGGACGACGGUAGUAAAUAAGAUGAUCCCUUACAAAAUUUCAAGAAGUGUUCUCCCCUAACUGUGCACCGUUGCUACAGUUCGUCGCUUCUAAGCACCACGUGAUGAUCGGGUGUGAUGGAUUCUUACGUUCACAUACAACGGGUGUAAGACAGUUUUACACAGCGAAAACACUUAGGGUUAACUUGAUGAGCCUAGCAUGUGCAGACAUGGCCUCGGAACACGGAGACCGAAAGGUCGAGCAUGAGUCGUAUAGUAGAUACGAUCAACAUGAAGAUGUUCACCGAUGAUGACUAGUCCGUCUCACGUGAUGAUCGGACACGGCCUAGUUGACUCGGAUCAUGUGAUUACUUAGAUGACCAGAGGGAUGUCUAUCUGAGUGGGAGUUCAUAAGAUGAACUUAAUUAUCCUGAACAUAGUCAAAAGACCUUUUUGCAAAUUAUGUCGUAAGCUCGCGCUUUAGUUCCACUGUUUAGAUAUGUUCCUAGAGAAAAUAUAGUUGAAAGUUGACAGUAGCGAUUAUGCGGAUAGUAGAACGCUUAUGUCCUUAAUGCACUGCUCAGUGUGCUGAACCCCAAACGUCGUUUGUGGAUGUUUCGAACAUCGAACAUACAUGUUUUGAUAACUACGUGAUAGUUCAGUUAAAUGGUUUAAGUAGAGGCACCAAAGACAUUUUCGAAACGUCGCGGAACAUAUGAGAUGUUUCGAGGGCUGAAAUUGGGAUUUCAGGCUCGUGCCCACGUCAAGAGGUAUGAGACCUCUGGCGAUUUUCUUAGCCUGCAAACUAAGGGAGAAAAGCUCAAUCGUUGAGCUUGUGCUCAGAUUGUCUGAGUGCAACAAUCACUUGAAUCAAGUGGGAGUUAAUCUUCCAGAUGAGAUAGUGAUGUUUCCCCAAAGUCAUUGCCACCAAGCUGCUAGAGCUUCGUGAUGAACUAUAACAUAUCAGGGAUAGAUAUGAUGAUCCUUGAAAUAUUCAUGAUGUUUGACACCGCGAAAGUAGAAAUCAAGAAGGAGCAUCAAUUGUUGAUGGUUGGUGAAACCACUAGUUUCAAGAAGGGCAAGGGAACAAAGGGAUACUUCAUGAAACGGCAAUUCAGCUGCUGCUCAAGUGAAGAAACCCAAGGUUGAAUCCAAACCCGAGACUAAGUGCUUCUGUAAUAAGGGGAACAACCACUGGAGCAGCAUUACCCUAGAUACUUGGUAGAUGAGAAGGCUGGCAAGGUCGAUAGAAGUAUAUUGGAUAUACAUUAUGUUAAUGUGUACUUUACUAGUACUCCUAGUAGCACCAGGGUAUUGGAUACCGGUUCGGUUGCUAAGUGUUAGUAACUCGAAAUAAAAGCUACGGAAUAAACGGAGACUAGCUAAAGGUGAGCUGACGAUAUAUGUUGGAAGUGUUUCCAAGGUUGAAUGAUCAAGCAUCGCACGCUCCCUCUACCACCGAGAUUGGUGUUUGCGUUGAGCAUAGACAUGAUUGGAUUAUGUCUAUCGCAAUACGGUUAUUCAUUUAAGGAGAAUAAUGGUUACUCUAUUUUUUGAAUAAUACCUUCAAUGGUCUUGCACCUAAAGGAAUGGUUUAUUGAAUCUCGGUCGUAUUGAUACACAUUUUCAUGCCAAAAGAUAUAAGAUAGUAAUGAUAGUACCACUUACUUGUGGCACUGCCAUGUAAGUCAUAAUGGUAUAAAACGCAUGAAGAAGCUCCAUGUUGAUGGAUCUUUGGACUCACUCGUUUUUGAAAAGUUUGAGACAUGCGAACCAUGUCUAUUGGUGUAUAUGCAUGAAGAAACUCCAUGCAAAUGGACCGUUCGGACUCACUUGAUUUUGAAUCACUUGAGAUAUGCAAAUCAUACCACAUAGGCAAGAUGACUGAAAAGCCUCGGUUUCAAUAAGAUGGAACAAGAUAGCAACUUGUUGGAAGUAACACAUUUUGAUGUGUGCAGUCCAAUAAAUGCUGAGGCAUGCAGUGAAUAUCGUUAUGUUCUUACUUCACAGAUGAUUCGAGUAGAUGUUGAGAAUAUUUACUUGAUGAAACACAACUCUGAAUUAUUGAAUGGUUCAAGUAAUUUCAGAGUGAAGUAGAAGAUCAUUGUGACAAGAGGAUAAAAUGUCUAUGAUACGAUCAUAGAGAUGAAUAUCUGAGUUACGUGUUUUGGCACACAAUUAAGACAUUGUGGAAAUUGUUUCAUAAUUAAUACCGCCUGGAACACCAUAGUGUGAUGGUGUGUCCGAACAUCAUAGUUGCACCCUAUUGGAUAUGGUGCGUACCAUGAUGUCUCUUAUCGAAUUACCACUAUCGUUCAUGGGUUAGGCAUUAGAGACAACCACAUUCACUUUAAAUAGGGCACCACGUAAUUCCGUUGAGAUGACACCGUAUGAAUUAUGGUUUAGAGAAACCUAAGUUGUCGUUUCUUAAAGGUUUGGGGCUGCGACGCUUAUGUGAAAAAGUUUCAGGAUUAAGCUCGAACCCAAAGCGGAUAAAAUACAUCUUCAUAGGACACCCAAAACAGUUGGGUAUACCUCCUAAUUCAGAUCCGAAAGCAAUAUGAAUUGUUUCUAGAAUCGGGUCCUUUCUCGAGGAAAGGUUUCUCUCGAAAGAGUUGAGUGGGAGGAUGGUGGAGGCUUGAUGAGGUUAUUGAACCGUCUCUUCAACUAGUGUGUGACAGGGCACAGGGAGUUGUUCCUGUGGCACCUACACCAAUUGAAGUGGAAGCUUAUGAUAGUGAUCAUGAAACUUCGGAUCAAGUCACUACCAAACCUCGUAGGAUGACAAGGAUGCGUACUACUUCAGAGUGGUACGUAAUCCUGUCUUGGAAGUCAUGUUGCUAGACAACAAUGAACCUACGAGCUAUGGAGAAGCGAUGGUGGGCCCGGAUUCCGAUAAAUGGCUUGAGGCCAUAAAAUCCGAGAGAGGAUCCAUGUACGAAAACAAAGUGUAGACUUUGGCAGAACGGCUCGAUGGUCGUAAGGCUAAUGAGUACAGAUGGAUUUCAAAAGGAAGACGGACAAUGAUGGUAAAUGUCACCAUUAAGAAAGCUCGACUUGUCAUUAAGAUGUUUUCCGACAAGUUCAAGGAGUUGACUACGAUGAGAUUUUCUCACUCGUAGCGAUGCUAAGAGUCUGUUGGAAUUAUAUUAGCGAUUACUGCAUUAUUUAUGAAAUCUUGCAGAUAGGAUGUCAAAACAUUGUUUCCUCGACGAUUUUAAUGAGGAAAUGUUGUAUGUGAUACAACUGGAAGGUUUUGUCAAUCCCGAAAGAUGCUAAUAAGUAUGCAAAGCUCCAGCAAUCCUUCUAAGGACUGGAGUGAGCAUCUCGGAGUUGGAAUGUAUGCUUUGAUGAUGAUCAAAAAUUUUGGGUUUGUACAAAGUUUAUGAGAAACUUGUAUUUCCAAAGAAGUGAGUGGGAGCACUAUAGAAUUUCUGAUGAGUAUAUGUUGUUGACAUAUUGAUGAUCAGAAAUGAUGUAGAAUUUCUAGAAAGCAUAUAGGGUUAUUUGAAAAGGAGUUUUUCAAUAGAAAACCUGGAUUAAGCUACUUGAACAUUGAGCAUCAAGAUCUAUGAGGAUGGAUCAAAACGCUUAAUGGUACUUUCAAAUGAGCACAUACCUUGACAUGAUCUUGAAGGUGUUCAAGAUGGACCAGUCAAAGAAGGAGUUCUUACCUGAGUUGUAAGGUACGAAGUUAAGACUUAAAGCUCGACCACGGCAGAAUAGAGAGAAAGGACGAAGGUCGUCCCCUAUGCUUAAGACGUAGGCUCUUCAGUAUGCUAUGCUGUGUACCGCACCUGAAGUGUGCCUUGCCAUGAGUCAGUCAAGGGGUACAAGAGUGAUCCAAGAAUGGCUCACAGGACAGCGGUCAAAGUUAUCCUUAGUAACUAGUGGACUAAGGAAUUUUCUCGAUUAUGGAGGUGGUAAAAGAGUUCGUCGUAAAGGGUUAUGUCGAUGCAAGCUUGACACCUAUCCGGAUAGAUCUGAGUAGAGAGACCGGAUACAUAUAAUGGAGCAAUAAUUUAGAAUAGCUCCAAGUAGAACAGUUAUUUGGAAUAGCUCCAAAUAGAGCGUGGUAGCUGCAUCUAGGAGAUGACAUAGAGAUUUGUAAAGCACACACGGAUCUGAAAGGUUCAGACCCAUUGACUAAAACCUCUCUCACAAGCAACAUGAUCAAACAUAAAACUCAUUGAGUGUUAAUCACAUAGUGAUGUGAACUAGAUUACUGACUCUAGUAAACUCUUGGGUAUUAGUCACAUGGCGAUGUGACCUGUGAGUGUUAAUCACAUGGUGAUGUGAACUAGAUUAUUGACUCUAGUGCAAGUGGGAGACUGUUGGAAAUAUGCCCUAGAGGCAAUAAUAAAAGUAUUAUUAUUAUAUUUCCUUUUUCAUGAUAAUUGUCUUUUAUUCAUGCUAUAACUGUAUUAUCCGGAAAUCGUAAUACACGUGUGAAUACAUAGACCACAAUAUGUCCCUAGUGAGCCUCUAGUUGACUAGCUCGUUGUGAUCAACAGAUAGUCAUGGUUUCCUGGCUAUGGACAUUGGAUGUCGUUGGUAACGGGAUCACAUCAUUAGGAGAAUGAUGUGAUGGACAAGACCCAAUCCUAAGACUAGCACAAAAGAUCGUGUAGUUCAUUUGCUAGAGCUUUGCCAAUGUCAAGUAUCUCUUCCUUCGACCAUGAGAGCGUGUAACUCCUGGAUACCGUAGGAGUGCUUUGGGUGUAUCAAACGUCACAACGUAACUGGGUGACUAUAAAGGUGCACUACAGGUAUCUCCGAAAGUAUCUAUUGUUUUAUGCGGAUCGAGACUGGGAUUUGUCACUCCGUGUAAACGGAGAGGUAUCUCUGGGCCCACUCGGUAGGACAUCAUCAUAUGCACAAUGUGACCAAGGAGUUGAUCACGGGAUGAUGUGUUACGGAACGAGUAAAGUGACUUGCCGGUAACGAGAUUGAACAAGGUAUUGGAUACCGACGAUCGAGUCUUGGGCAAGUAACAUACCGAUAGACAAAGGGAAUUGAAUACGGGAUUGAAUAAGUCCUUGACAUCGUGGUUCAUCCGAUGAGAUCAUCGUGGAACAUGUGGGAGCCAUCAUGGGUAUCCAGAUCCCGCUGUUGGUUAUUGACCGGAGAACGUCUCGGUCAUGUCUGCAUGUCUCCCGAACCCGUAGGGUCUACACACUUAAGGUUCGAUGACGCUAGGGUUAUAAAGGAAGCUUGUAUGUGGUUACCGAAUGUUGUUCGGAGUCCCGGAUGAGAUCCCGGACGUCACGAGGAGUUCCGGAAUGGUCCGGAGGUAAAGAUUUAUAUAUGGGAAGUCCUGUUUUGGUCACCGGAAAAGUUUCGGGCGAUAUCGGUAUUGUACCGGGACCACCGGGAGGGUCCCGGGGGUCCACCAAGUGGGGCCACCUGCCCCAGAAGGCUGCGUGGGCCAAGUGUGGGAGGGGACCAGCCCCUAGGAGGGCUGGUGCGCCCCCCACAAGGGGGCCAAGGCGCAAGAGAGAGUGGGAGGGGGCAAACCCUAGUCCAGAUGGGCCUUAAGGCCCAUAUUGGUGCGCCUCCCUCUCCUCUCCCCCUCUUGGCCGCCUCCCCAAGUCCCAUCUAGGGCUGGCCGCACCCCUUGGGGUGGGAAACCCUAAAGGGGGCGCAGCCCCCUUCUCCCCUAUAUAAAUAGAGGCCUGGGGCUGCCCAUAAUACAUGAGAACUUCUCCUCUCGUUGGUGCAGCCCUGCCUCUCCUCCUCCUCCUCUCCCAUGGUGCUUGGCGAAGCCCUGCUGGAUUGCCACGCUCCUCCAUCACCACCACGCCGUUGUGCUGCUGUUGGAUGGAGUCUUCCUCAACCUCUCCCUCUCUCCUUGCUGGAUCAAGGCGUGGGAGACGUCACCGGGCUGUACGUGUGUUGAACGCGGAGGUGCCGUCCGUUCGGCACUUGAUCAUCGGUGAUUUGAAUCACGACGAGUACGACUCCAUCAACCCCGUUCACUUGAACGCUUCCGCUUAGCGAUCUACAAGGGUAUGUAGAUGCACUCUCUUUCUACUCGUUGCUGGUUUCUCCAUAGAUAGAUCUUGGUGACGCGUAGGAAAAUUUUGAAUUUCUGCUACGUUCCCCAACAAGAACCUCGUAGGUCUUCCAGAGUACGGUCCGCACCAGAGUAGUACGGUAAUCCUGUUCUGAAAGUCAUGUUACUAGACUAUGAUAAACCUACGAACUAUGAGGAAGCGAUGAUGAGCCCAGAUUCCGCGAAAUGGCUGGAGGCCAUGAAAUCUGAGAUAGGAUCCAUGUAUGAGAACAAAGUGUGGAUUUUGGUGGACUUGCCCGAUGAUCGGCAAACCAUAAGAAAUAAAUGGAUCUUCGUUCCUGUGUCUGUCCCUUCAGGGAAAUGUCACGCUUUGAGUACCGGAGUCCUGUUAGCCCGCUACAGCCCGGUUUACCGGAGUCCUGCUAGCCCAGUGCUACAGCCCGGACCCAUUUGCUGAUGACCGACACGUUCAAAGCUGGGUCAUGGAUGCCUGUCCCUGUAAGUCUGUGCCACUUUGGGUUUACGACUAGUCAUGUCAGCCCGGGCUCUUUAUCAUAUGGAUGCUAGCGACACUAUCAUAUACGUGAGCCAAAAUACGCAAACGGUCCCGGGCAAAGGUAAGGCGACACCCGUGGGGAUACCGUGCGUGAGGCCGCAAAGUGAUAUGAGGUGUUACCGGCUAGAUCGAUGUGACAUCGAGUCGGGGUCCUGACAGCGUUGGCAUCAGAGCCGGACUGCCUGUAGGUUCUCCAAGCCAAACUGGUCGAUGUUGAGUCUAGAAAUUCUUUAGUUAUAUGUAGGGGAAUUGUUUGUGGGUUGGAACGUAAGGCUCUUUUUACUCCUUUAUCUUAUGACAUUCUGAUCUGAGUCAGUCCAUUCUUCCACCGAGGGUUAAGGAAUUAGGAUCUGUUCUCUCUAUCAGGAUCACGUGUUACUAAUCAGUAGUACCUUAUAAGUUUGAUGGAUACAAGCCUAGUUCAGUUCUACUACCACAUUAUGUUGUUAGAAUGGAUUCAGAACUUUGAUAUGAUGAUGUUGAGUGUGUACGAAAUCCUUUGUCAAAUGUCUCAAAAUCCUUCUUGAGCAUUUACAGCUGUUAUGCUGCCGAAAUUUUGCUAGAAAUUCUAAUGCCCUUGCAUUAUGAUUGUGCUUUCAGAUGGCCACUCGCGACCUCAAUCAAGUGGUUCGCCUGACUCGAUGCCUAGAUGUACCCGGCCAUACUGCCAAGUUGGUCAGGGUAAUGACUGAGGCUGGAUACCGUUGGUAUCCUGAGUACACGGUCGAAGAGCAAUUUCGGGACUUCAAUCAAAGCCAGUAUCUCUGCACUGUCUGGAUAUUUCCAUCUUAUCCUGGAUCCUCUAAGCCCCUUCACUGCUCCUAUGGACUCGGGGUUACUAUUGAGAUGGCUGUGCAGGACGCCGCCUACUCUAUGAUGACCAUUAUGCGAGUCAGAUCUGGUCUAUUUCGGGACUCUGAUUUCCGGUAUAUGCCAGGAUCACUUCCGGGAGCACAAGGGUAUCUCCAGGCUAUCUAUGCUGACCCCACUCAGGAGGAUUCACGGACUCACACCACUGCUGAGAUGCUCGAGGAUAAGGACCGUGAAAAUCGGGCCUUAAGGUUAGAGCUCUUCAAUACCCGUGCUGACCACUGGGCCACUUUGACUCGGUUUGCACCGGCGGUGCAAGCUGGAUAUUCAGAUAUGCGCGAUCUCUAUCCUGUGAGAUCUGCUCUGCCAGACGUGAUGGGUUGGCGUGAUGUAGGAGGCAUCACCCCACCUCGUGGUCCCCGCAGGCCACCGUCUGUUGGUCCAAGACCUCAUCCUAGCCCCUAUGGUCCACAAGCUCCGCGAGAUCGUCUGUUUCCGGAUGAUCAUGUUGAGCUUCCAGGCUAUGGAGGUGACUUCUACGAGGACUACUACGGAUCAGUCUGAGUUAGUGGUAGUAUCACUAGUUCGCACUAGCUGUGUCGUCUAUCGUCCCGCGUGACUCGUGGGAUAUGACCUAGUUUGUACUCUUUCCGGAGGAGUAGAAAAAUAAUGUAUAGGAGCUUGGAAUGCCUCCGAUGAGAUGUAAUCCCCUUUCACCGUAAUAGUACUUUGUUUGGUCUUGUACUAAACCCUGUAUGGUGUGUAUGACGAUGGAAUAAAGAAGCAGUUUCUGUAUCUACCAUGUCAUACGGAUGAUCAUCUUGCAUUUCGAGUUAUUCCUUACAUUCUGUAUCCUAUGUCGGAAUUUUAUCAUUCUGACUAAAUCAUUGUCUUGUUUACCUAGGAUGGUCAACACGCGCGCUAACCCUGCUUCUCAAGAGCAGGCCGAAGGCAGUGAAGCCAGGGAUGCAAAUUUGCCUCAUCCUCCUUCACUAGCCGAGGUUAUGAUGGAAGCUGAGAGAAACAAGCGGGAGACCAACCGUUUGUUAGAACGUAUUGAACAGAACACAACACACCAUCAGAGGACUAACGUGGUGUCACUCAGUGAUUUUAUCAAAUUGCAUCCACCCACGUUCCACCACUCCGUCGAGCCUCUCGACGCUGAUGACUGGCUUCGCAGUAUCGCUCACAAACUGCGUUCCGCGCUGGUAGCGGAGGCUGACAAGGUCACCUUUGCUGCAUAUCAUCUUGAAGGCCCCGCCAGUCUAUGGUGGGAGAAUUAUGGAGCUAUGCGCCCGGCGGGCCAUGUCACUACUUGGGCUGAGUUCAGUGAGGCUUUCCGUGAACAUCACAUUCCGGAGGGUCUCAUGGACCGUAAACGUGAAGAAUUUUGCAGUUUCACCCAAGGCCGACUUUCUGUGGAUGUUUACAGCAGGGAGUUUGGUAAUCUCGCCCGAUAUGCAACUGAGGAAGUGUCUACUGAUGCCAAGAAGCAAGCAAGGUUCCGUAAGGGGCUUAGUCCUGAGCUUCGCCGUGACCUCCGUCUGCAUGAGUGCACAUCCUUUCAGAAACUUGUCAACAAAGCCAUCAGUGCUGAAACUGGUCAGACUGACUAUGACGCAACACGCAAGCACGGCCGUGAUAUGGGUUCCUCAUCCGGUGCUGGUCCUCAGAAGCGCCGCGUGUGGGUACCUAACACCGCCCUGCCACCCAGGUUCACACCGAGGCCAUCCUUCCAGGCGCCUCGCCCUGUUCAACAGUCUGCACCGGCCAAGCCCUAUGGGGGUCCAACCAACAAUGCUCCUCCACGUACCAGUUCCGUGACUUGUUUCAAGUGCGGGGAAUCUGAUCACUAUAUGCGUGAGUGUCCCCAGACCAACCCCAACCAGUCUGCUAAAGCUGUUGGCCGUGGCAAGCCGACAGGAAAAAUAUUCCACGCCAAGCCGGUCACCGCUUCACGUGGCCAUGUCAACUGUAUCUCUGCCGAAGAAGCUCAAGAGGAUCCCAACGUCGUUCUCGGUACGCUUCUUGUUAAUUGCCACCCAGCAUCUGUUCUUUUCGAUACAGGAGCCUCUCAUUCUUUUAUAUCCGAAAAUUAUGCUCGUUUGCAUAACGUUGCAUUCUGUGACAUGCCAUCCACUAUGGAAAUUUCUACCCCUGGUUCUAGAUGGCAGACCUCUAGGGUAAGUUAUGGAAAUGAAAUCCAAGUCGACAGACUUGUUUUCCUCGCGUCUUUGAUAGCCCUUAAAUCUUCAGAUAUUAAUAUCAUUCUGGGUACGGAUUGGAUGUCAGCUCAUCAAGCCAAAAUUGAUUGCUUCUCUAGGACUGUUCAACUCACCCAUCCUUCGGGGAAGAUAGUCAAUGUCUUGACCCGAAUAGCCAAGCGACAAUUAUAUUCUCUUAACGCUAGCCCUUUGCCAGACCUUGAGGACGUGCCGGUAGUCCGUGACUUCCCGGAUGUCUUCCCAGAAGAAUUGCCAGGUGUUCCACCUGACAGGGAUGUUGAGUUCGUAAUAGACCUCAUCCUAGGAACCGUGCCGAUUGCUAGAAGACCCUAUAAGAUGGCACCCCUAGAACUAGCCGAGCUUAAGAAACAACUCGAUGAGUCCUUGAAAAAGGGUUUCAUCCGACCUAGUUCAUCUCCGUGGGCUUGCCCCGUUCUCUUCGUCAAGAAGAAGGAUGGUACGGACCGGAUGGUUGUAGAUUACCGACCUGUCAAUUUGGUCACAAUCAAGAACAAAUAUCCACUUCCCAGGAUCAACGACCUGUAUGAUCAGCUCGUUGGAUCCUCAGUCUUCUCCAAGAUGGAUUUGAGGUUGGGCUACCAUCAAAUCAAAAUCAGAAACGGGGACAUUCCUAAAACGGCCUUUGUUACUCGUUAUGGCCAAUACGAGUACACCGUCAUGUCCUUCGGUUUAACCAACGCUCCAGCCACCUUUUCUCGGUUAAUGAACUCAAUCUUCAUGGAGUAUUUGGAUAAAUUCGUCGUGGUUUACCUCGAUGAUAUACUCAUCUACUUCAAGAACGAGGAAGAACAUGCCGAACAUCUAAGGCUAGUGUUGAAGAAACUUCGAGAGCAUCGCCUUUAUGCCAAAUUUUCUAAAUGUGAAUUCUGGUUAUCAGAAGUGACCUAUCUGGGUCAUGUAAUAUCUGGUAAAGGUAUUGCUGUUAACCCUGAGAGAGUUCAAGCCGUCCUUAAUUGGACUCCACCUGAAUCGGUCAAGCAAGUUCGGAGUUUUCUAGGCUUAGCGAGCUAUUGCCGUCGCUUUGUCGAGAACUUCUCCAAGGUUGCUAAACCUCUAACCGAACUCCUCAAGAAAGAUAAGAAGUUCGAGUGGACUCCACAAUGUGAGCACAGCUUUCAGGAACUGAAAAGACGCCUGACCUCUGCUCCCGUACUGGUACCGCCAGACUUCUCCAAAGACUUUGUUAUCUACUGCGACGCCUCGCGACAAGGACUAGGUUGCAUCCUUAUGCAAGAUCGACAUGUAAUUGCCUACGCUUCACGACAAUUGCACCCACAUGAGGAGAAUUAUCCUACUCAUGAUCUAGAGCUUGCAGCCGUAGUCUAUGCACUUAAGACCUGGCGACAUUACCUCCUCGGUAAUCGUUGCGAAAUAUUCACUGAUCACCAAAGUCUGAAGUACAUUUUCACCCAACCGGAUCUGAAUCUCAGGCAAAGACGUUGGGUUGAAUUGAUCACAGACUUCGACUUAGGAAUAACCUACACCCCAGGGAAAGCCAACGUCAUGGCUGAUGCGCUAAGUCGUAAAUCUUAUUGUAACAAUCUGAUGUUACAACAAAGUCAACCGCUUCUCCAUGAGGAAUUUCGGAAGCUUAACCUUCACAUUGUACCUCAAGGUUUUCUUUCCACCUUGGUAGCAAAACCUACCCUUACGGAUCAGAUUAUCAAAGCACAGAAGGUAGAUCCGGGAAUCUCCCGCAUCAAGAGAAACGUUCAGAAAGGAAUUGCGAAUUGCUUCUCCGUUAAUGAUCAAGGGGUCGUAUAGUUCGGAAAUCGACUAGUGGUUCCCAAAGUACGCAACCUGAGGCGACUGAUCCUUAAGGAAGCUCAUGAAUCUCCUCUCACCAUUCAUCCCGGUAGUACUAAGAUGUAUCAGGACCUACGCCAGAGGUUCUGGUGGACUAGGAUGAAGAGAGAAAUUGCUCAGUAUAUUGCUAAUUGCGACGUCUGUCGUCGUGUAAAAGCAGAGCAUCAACGGCCUGCUGGCACCCUUCAACCCUUAGCUAUUCCUGAAUGGAAAUGGGAUAAAAUUGGUAUGGAUUUCAUUACCGGUUUUCCCAGGACCAAGAGAGGGAAUAAUGCUAUCUUCGUCGUUGUUGAUCGUCUUUCCAAAGUAGCCCAUUUCUUACCUGUUCGAGAGAGUAUAACCGCUAGUCAGCUGGCAGACUUAUACAUCUCCCGAAUAGUGUCCCUCCAUGGUGUUCCUUUGGAAAUUAACUCGGAUCGAGGAAGUCUUUUCACCUCUCGAUUUUGGGAAAGUUUCCAAAAUGCUAUAGGAACCCGUCUCUCCUUCAGCACCGCUUUCCACCCUCAAUCGAGUGGUCAAGUGGAACGCGUCAACCAGAUUCUAGAAGACAUGCUUCGAGCCUCUGUUAUCUCAUUCGGGAUGGACUGGGAGAAGUGCCUUCCAUUUGCCGAAUUCGCUUACAACAACAGCUAUCAAUCUAGCCUGGGUAAAGCCCCUUUUGAAGUUCUCUAUGGACGACGGUGUCGAACACCCCUUAACUGGUCAGAGACCGGGGAAAGACAAUUCUUUGGCCCGGAUAUGAUUCAGGAAGCAGAAGAACAAGUUCGUAUCGUUCGUGAAAAGUUGAAAACAGCCCAAUCUCGUCAAAAGAGUCAAUAUGACCGAAAACAUAAGGCUAUGACUUUCGAGGUUGACGAGAAGGCUUAUCUUCGGGUCACCCCUCUGAAGAGAACCCAUCGUUUCGGUAUCAAAGGAAAAUUGGCUCCUCGUUACAUUGGACCUUUUCGCAUUCUCGCCAAACGAGGAGAAGUUGCCUACCAGUUGGAACUACCUCCGCACCUCUCCAGAGUCCACGAUGUCUUCCACGUUUCUCAACUCAGGCGUUGCUUCUCGGAUCCUAUCCGUGAAGUGGACCACGAAACGCUUGAUCUCCAAGAUAAUCUUACAUAUCGAGAGUACCCCAUUCGUAUCCUCGAUCAGGCCGAACGUACCACCCGACGUCAUAAUAUCAAGUUUCUCAAAGUUCAAUGGUCGCACCAUUCGGAGGAUGAAGCAACCUGGGAAAGGGAGGAUCGUCUUCGACUUGAGUAUCCCGCCUUCUUCCCGGAGGAACCCAAAUCUCGGGACGAGAUUCUUUUGAGUGGGGGUGAGUUGUCACACCCUAGCUAGUCAUGCAUUAGAGUGUUGCAUCAUGUUUACUCUUUCAUCAGAAACUUGAAAUGGGGAUCUGUGAAACCCUCAGAAUCAUUUUGAAAAUGACCCAAAUAAAAAUUUCUCCAAAAAGGGUCCAAGAAAAUGCUCAUGUUGCUCUCUGAAAAUAUUGGACAGAGAUAAAAAUCAAACCAAUAUUUUUAAUAGCUCAUAGGUAUUUAUUUUGGGCAUUUGGAAUUAAUGCAUAAAUAUUUGCAUUGGAAAUAUAUUAAUUAUAUAUAUUAAUAUAUGUCCAAUUAUUAUGCCAAUUAUAAAGGAGCUCUGGAAUAAUAUAUCUAGCUCCUGCAAAAAUUGGCAUAAGUUAAAUAAAUGAUUUAAUAUAUUAUUUAAGUCAAAACAAAUGUUAGAAAUUAGAAAACAGAAAAAUAAAUAGCAGGAGGAGCUUACCUGGGCUCCUCCCUGAGCGGCCCAGCCAGCUGGCCGGCCCAGCAAGCCAGCCCAGCCCACCACCGCCGUCGUCCUCCUGGCGCCAGUCGGCCAGGCGUGUGGCCGGCGCGCGCGCACGGCCGGAGCGCCACGCCACCAGCUCGUCUGCCUGCCUCCCCCGCCAGCGCGACGCCGCGACGCUUCUUCUCGGUGCCGCCCCGAUCCCCUGGCCUUAUCCCCCCUCUCUCCCGUGCUGCUCCCUCUCUCUCUCUCACGACCGAACACCACCGUCGCCGCCGUUCGCCAUAGCAGCCGUCACCGGCCACCCCUCACUCCCCCGACUAGCUCAGGAGCUCCGCCUCGACCCCCUCUUCCUCCCCACCGCUCCACGGGUCUCCGGAAGCCCUGCAUCGCCGCCUACGUCGCCGUUCCCCUCCUCGGCCACCGGAGAUCAUCGCCGUCGAUUCGCCAUCUCCAGCGCGUCCCCGAGCCCUCUUCGACGCCCACUGCAACCGCGGUGAGCUCCGCCACCGUUUCCCCCUCUUUUUCCCCUCGUUCCCGCGCCGUAACCUCGUUCCCACCACGGCCGAACCUCCGCCGUCGCCGAGCUCGCCGUCGACGCAGCUCCGGUGACCAUUUGGUCACCCCGGCGAGUCCAACAAGUUCGUAAGGCCCCGUAGAGCAUCCCUAGCGCCUCGCUUAGCUCGCCUUCGAGCUCCAACCCCGUUUCCGUGCACGACCGAACCCCGGCGGCCGUAGCCGAGCUCGCCGCCGUCGACUCCGGCCACCCCAGGCCCAGCCACGGCCACCGUCCGACGCGCCAUCGAGCUAGCUAUCCAACGCACCUAGCCGCACGCCGUUUGGAGCACCACAGAGGAAACCCGAGGCCCCUGUACGCCGCGGACCUCGCCGGCGACUAACCGCCGGCGGGUUUGACUUGUCUGACCUGGGGUUUGACCCCCCCAGGGUCACUGACGCGUGGGCCCCAUCGGCCAGGUGGUCAGUUAGUGCUAAUUACCGUUAGUCAACCCCCCUUGACACUGAUAGUGGGCCCCAGCGCCACUAAUCCCUAAUUAGGAUUAAUUUAAUCCUGUUAAACCCCCCUGUCACUGACGUGUGGCCCCCACACGUCAGGUUUGACCCCAGACAGCCGCAGUUGACCACUGACAUCAUGCUGACGUCAUGCUGGCGCAAUAAUUAUAUUUCUGGAUUUAAAUUUAAUGAGGAAAUUCCAGAAUAUUAUUUAAACUUCAAAAAUUCAUAACUUUUAUUCUGUAACUCCAAAUUGGACAAAUUAUAUAUGAAAAAUGAUCAGAAAAAUCCAAUCUAUCCAUCUGUACUAUUUUCAUGCAUGAUCAAACAAGUUAAAUUGAUGUUUUAAGCAGAACAAGGAAAAGCACUUUAAAAGGCCAUGCUUGAGUUUGAAAUUUGAAUCUUUGAUUCAAAUUUGUUCAAACCCUUCUGGUUUUAGUUGCAUUAGCCCAACACACUCAUAUUGCCAUGUUUCAUGCAUGCAUCAUAUUGUUGCACAUUGUUUGUUGAUGGUUGUGUAUCGGUGUCCUUUGCGACAGGUUCUGCCUCCGAGGAGUACCGUGAUUACCCUAACGAAGAACAGUAUCAGUGCAUCGAACCAUCAGGCAAGCAACCAACCAUUUGAUCAUAUCGAUACAAUCCCAUGUUCUCGCUCCUGCUCUCUUUUACUGCAUUAAGACAACGCGUUUCAAACUGCUGUGUGCUACGGUAGUUGAACCCAUUUCCUCUGCAUGACCUGUCAUUGCCACAGUAACUAGAUGAAACCCACUAGCAUGUGUAGGAGUUGAUUGAGCCAUAUGUAUGUGUUGUUCCUACCUUGCUAUGCCUGCUAUGCUUAGAGUCGUGUCAGGUCUGGUUCAUCUAGGUGAUGGGCUAGAGUGAAAUGUUUAUGUCGGUAAUGAGAGUGGUGUGGUGAACACGAUUUGGUAAAGGUAUCGAUGAGAGGCCAUGUAGGAGUACAUGGUGGGUUGUUUCGUUGAAGCCGACCUUAAGCACUGAGAUCUGUAUGUGUGAUUUAAGAAUCAGCUACUACCAUGCAUUGGGCCCGAAACCAAUGGACCCUCUCGGCUUCUUAAUCACCCUAGUACUCCGUCCAGGAGUUGCAAGUAGUUUCUGGUGUUUGUAGCCUACUGGAGGCCGUGGACAGCGCUGACCGUAGGGGUGGGCUGUGAUGCGGUAGGUACGUGGUCGGGUGUACCGAAUACCUGUUAGGUAUCUCGGGAACCUUGUUCACAUCGUUCGGGGCCGUAUGGGAAACCUCGGCCGGACUCCCUGCGGAUGGAACCUGAAUAGGCGAUAAACCUGGACUGGAGGCUUAGGUGACUAGGUAGGUCGUGGCCGACACCCACGUUGGGCUUCCGCUUGAAGGUUGCCGAGUACAUGUCGUGUAAACGACGGUAAGUGGUGAGAGCGUGUAUGAAGAAGUACACCCCUGCAGGGUUAACAUGAUCUAUUCGAAUAGCCGCGUCCGCGGUAAAGGACUACUUGGUUGCCUAUACAGUUCAUAGACAAGUAAAUGGAAACUGCUAAAAGCCUCAAGAUAAGUGUGAGUGCCGAGGAUGGAUCUUCCGUAGGAAGACGGAGGUGGAUCCUCGGUAGUGUAUUGAAGUGGUGAGUAGUGGACUCGUGUGCGCAAAACCAUUUCAAGUUGAAGUAUCGUAGGAUAGUCUAGCCAAGAGUUAAAGCUGGCUUGCUGCAAUAACUCCACCAACCCUUCUUGAUAAUAUGCAUGUAUGUAGGAUCUGAUGUAAGUCUUGCUGAGUACCUUUGUACUCAUGUUGCUAUAAUCUACAUUUUUACAGAAGACGCUGCAACCCCUUCUGAUGGGUUCUAUGUAGACGUUGACAUCAACGAGUAGGCUAAAGACCCAGGUGGUGACCCUGAGCUUGUGAAGGACCAUGUAGUAUAGCUAGGCUUUCCAAGCCUCUUUUAUUUUACUAGUUGUCUGUACUCAGACAAGUUACUUCCGCUGUUUGUUUGUAUGACUGUAUGACUUGAAUGUUGGGUCGUGAGACCCGUACCUUUGUGUAUGUUAUGUAUGGCUCCCUGAGCCUUAAAUAAAGUACUUGUGUCAUAGAGUCAUGUUGUGAUGCUUCGUUGUAUUUGCACAUAUCGAGCAUAUUGUGUGUAUGAUUGAAAUGCUUGGUAUGUGUGGGAUCUGACUACCUAGUUGUUUAUCUUUAGUAGCCUCUCUUACCGGGAAAUGUCUCCUAGUGUUACCGCUGAGCCAUGGUAGCUUGCUACUGCUCUGGAACACUUAGGCUGGCCGGCAUGUGUCCUUCUUCGUUCCUGUGUCUGUCCCUUCGGGGAAAUGUCACGCUUUGAGUACCAGAGUCCUGUUAGCCCGCUACAGCCCGGUUUACCGGAGUCCUGCUAGCCCAGUGCUACAGCCCGGACCCAUUUGCUGAUGACCGACACGUUCGAAGCUGGGUCAUGGAUGCCUGUCCCUGUAAGUCUGUGCCACUUUGGGUUUACGACUAGUCAUGUCAUCCCGGGCUCUUUAUCAUAUGGAUGCUAGCGACACUAUCAUAUACGUGAGCCAAAAUACGCAAACGGUCCCGGGCAAAGGUAAGGCGAGACCCGUGGGGAUACCGUGCGUGAGGCCGCAAAGUGAUAUGAGGUGUUACCGGCUAGAUCGAUGUGACAUCGAGUCGGGGUCCUGACAGUUAGCUUAGCAAUUGAUCGUUUAGUAUGUUGGUAUUGCUUUCUUCAUGACUUAUACAUGUUCCUGUAACUAUGAGAUUAUGCAACUCCCGUUUACCGGAGGAACACUUUGGGUGCUACCAAACGUCACAACGUAACUGGGUGAUUAUAAAGGAGUACUACAGGUGUCUCCAAAGGUACGUGUUGGGUUGGCGUAUUUCGAGAUUAGGAUUUGUCACUCCGAUUGUCGGAGAGGUAUCUCUGGGCCCUCUCGGUAAUGCACAUCACUAUAAACCUUGCAAGCAAUGUGACUAAUGAGUUAGUUGCGGGAUGAUGCAUUACAUAAUGAGUAAAGAGACUUGCCGGUAACGAGAUUGAACUAGGUAUUGAGAUACCGACGAUCGAAUCUCGGGCAAGUAACAUACCGAUGACAAAGGGAACAACGUAUGUUGUUAUGCGGUUUGACCGAUAAAGAUCUUCGUAGAAUAUGUAGGAGCCAAUAUGAGCAUCCAGGUUCCGCUAUUGGUUAUUGACCGAGAAUAGUUCUAGGUCAUGUCUACAUAGUUCUCGAACCCGUAGGGUCCGCACGCUUAACGUUACGAUGACAGUUUUGUUAUGAGUUUAUAAGUUUUGAUGUACCGAAGGAGUUCGGAGUCCCGGAUGAGAUCGGGGACAUGACGAGGAGUAUCGAAAUGGUCGAGACGUAAAGAUCGAUAUAUUGGACGACUAUAUUCGGACUUCGGAAAGGUUCCGGGUGAUUCGGGUAUUUAUCGGAGUACCGGAGAGUUACGGGAAUUCGCCGGGGAGAAGUAUUGGGCCUUAUUGGGCCAUACGGGAAAGAGAGAGGGGCUGCCUAGGGCAGCAAGGCCUAGUCCGAAUUGGACUAGGGGGAGGGGCCGCACCCCCUCCUUCCUUCCCUUCUCUCUUCCCUUUCCUUCUCUCCUACUCCUACUACAUGGAAGGGCUCCUAGUUCUACCAGGAAAGGGGGAAUCCUACUCCCGGUGGGAGUAGGACUCCCCUAGGGCGCGCCAUAGAGAGGGCCGGCCCUCCCCCUCCUCCACUCCUUUAUAUACGGGGGUAGGGGCACCCCAUAGACACACAAGUUGAUAUACGGAUCGUUCCUUAGCCGUGUGCGGUGCCCCCCUCCAUCAUAUUCCACCUCGGUCAUAUCGUCGCGGAGUUUAGGCGAAGCCCUGCGCCGGUAGAACAUCAUCAUCGUCACCAUGCCGUCGUGCUAACGGAACUCAUCCCCAAAGCUUUGCUGGAUCGGAGCCCGGGGAUCGUCAUCGAGCUGAACGUGUGCUGAACUCGGAGGUGCCGUAUGUUCGGUGCUUGGAUCGGUCGGAUCGUGAAGAUGUACGACUACAUCAACCGCGUUGUCAUAACGCUUCCUCUUACGGUCUACGAGGGUACGUGGAAAAUACUCUCCCCUCUCGUUGCUAUGCCAUCACCAUGAUCUUGCGUGUGCGUAGGAAUUUUUUUUAAAUUACUACGUUCCCCAACAUCUCAAACCCAUCUCCAUCGAUGCAUUAUCUAUCACAUUACGAGAUAGACCCUUUGUGGAGGGAUCUGCCAAGUUUUUCGACGUUUGGAUAUAAUCCAACGUAAUAACUCCGGAGUUUCUCAGUUUCCUGACAGAUUUUAAUCUCCUCUUCACAUGCUUUGAGGACUUCAUAUUGUCCUUAGAACUGUUUAUCUUGACGAUCACAGUUUGAUUAUCACAGUCCAUCAGGAUAGGGGGUAUUGGUUUUUCAACCAUAGGUAAGUCCAUCAAUAGCUCAUGCAGCCACUCUGCUUCAACAGUGGCAGUGUCUAAUGAUGUGAGUUCUGCUUCCAUAGUUGACCUCGUUAAGAUGGUCUGCUUGCAAGACUUCCAGGAAACAACACCACCACCAAGUGUAAAAACAUAACCACUUGUGGCCUUAAUCUCAUCAGCAUCAGAUAUCCAGUUUGAGUCACUAUAACCCUCCAGUACCCUUGGAUACCCGGUGUAGUGAAUCCCAUAGCUCGCAGUGCCCUUCAAGUAGCGCAUAACUCUCUCAAGCGGACGCCAAUGAUCAUCUCCCGGUUUUGACACAAACUGACUCAGCUUGCUCACAGCAAAAGAGAUGUCAGGCCUCAUGGCACUCGCCAAAUCCAUAAGCGAGCCAAUAAUCUGAGAAUACCUCACUUGAUCUCUAGCAAUCCGUCGAUUCUUUCGAAGCAACACAGUAACAUCAUAUGGAGUUGGAAAAGGCGUGCAGUCGCUAUACCCAAAACGACUCAAGACCUUUUCCACAUAGUGAGACUGAAGCAGUGUGAUCCCACCAUUCUCAUCUCUCAACAGCUUGAUGUUUAAGAUAACAUCAACUACUCCUAGAUCCUUCAUCUCAAAACAACGAGAUAAGAAAUCCUUAACCUCCUUGAUUAAAUCAAGUUUGGUUUCAAAGAUCAAUAUGUCAUCGACAUACAGACAAAGAAUAACUCCUUCGCCCCACUAUGGCGAUAGUACACAGACUUGUCACCAUCAUUUACUACAAAGCCGGUAGCAGUUAAUGUUCUUUUGAGCUUCUCAUGCCACUCAUUAGGAGCUUGUUUAAGGCCAUAUAAAGACUUUAACAACUUGCACACCUUUCCUUCCUGACCAGGUACUAAAAAACCAUCUGGCUGAUUCAUGUAAAUUUCCUCCUUCAACUCUCCAUUGAGGAAAGCCGUCUUAACGUCCAUUUGAUGAACGAGAAGACCAUGUGAGGCAGCUAGUGAUAGUAGCACCCGAAUGGUGGUCAGUCUAGCCACGGGUGAGUAAGUAUCAAAGAAGUCUUCACCUUCUUUCUGGCUAUAACCCUUAGCCACAAGCCGUGCCUUGUACUUUUCAAUCGUACCAUCAGGUCUAAGCUUCUUCUUGAACACCCACUUACAUCCUACAGGUUUGCACCCAUAAGGACGGUCAAUGACCUCCCAGGUCCCGUUAGCUAAGAUGGAAUCCAUCUCGCUACGAACAGCUUCCUUCCAGUAGUCAGCAUCAGGAGAUGCAUAGGCUUCUGAAAUAGUCCUGGGCGUGUCAUCCACAAGGUACACAAUGAAAUCAUCACCAAAGGACUUUGCAGUCCUCUGUCUCUUACUCCUUACAGGAGUUUCAUUGUCACCCUCAACAGGAUUCUCAAUGUGUUCCAUCGCAAUGGUGGGUUCAGGAAUUACAGUGAGUUCCUCACUAGAUGGAAUAGGUAUCUCCUGAUUUGAUGAACUUGACAUAUCCUUCAUAGGAAAUAUGUCCUCAAAGAAAGUUGCAUCAUUAGACUCCAUAAUCGUACCAACAUGCAUGUCGGAUACCUCAGAUUUUAUUAUAAAAAAUCUAUAGCCAAUGCUAUGAAAAGCAUAGCGCAGAAGAACACAAUCCACGGUUUUUGGUCCAAGCUUGCGCUUCUUGGGAAUUGGUAUAUUGACUUUUGCCAAACAACCCCAAGAACGUAGGUAAGAGAGUUUCAACAUUUUCCUUUCCCAUUCCUCAAAUGGAGUCAUGGUCUUAUGCUUUGUGGGAACUCGAUUUAGGACAUGACACGCAGUCAUUAGCGCCUCCCCCCACCAUUCCUUAGAAAGACCCGAUGUGUUUAACAUGGCGUUAACCAAAUCAGUUAGAGUUUGGUCCUUUCUUUCGGCCACCCCAUUAGACUGAGGUGAGUAGGGAGGCGUCCUCUCAUGGAUUAUACCAUGUUCUGCACAAAACAUAUCAAUUCACUGGAAAAAUACUCUCCACCACGAUCGGACCUAAGCCGUUUAAUUUUUCGAUCAAGUUGGUUCUAUGCCUCAGCUUUGUAGUUUUUGAAGAAAGUUAAAGCCUCAUCUUUUGAUUUCAGAAGAUACACAUAACAAUAUCUAGUGGAGUCAUCAAUCAACGUCAUGAAGUAUCUCUUUCCACCUUUUGUCAACACGCCAUUCAUCUCACAGAGAUCAGAAUGUAUAAGCUCUAGUGGCGCCAAGUCUCUUGCCUCUGCAGUCUUAUGGGACUUGCGAGGUUGUUUAGCUUGCACACAUACUUGGCACUUAGAGCCUUUGACAGUAGAGAUUUUCAGAAUUAAAUUCAUAUUGGCUAGCCGCGUCAUGCAACCAAAGUUAAUAUGGCAAAGUCGUGCAUGCCAAAUAUCUGACUGAUUAUUGUGGCAAACAUUAUUAAUAACUUUAGUGCAAAUAUCUGACAAAGAUAGGCGGAACAAGCCUCCGCACUCAUAGCCUUUUCCAACAAAUUGUCCACACUUGGAAAUUACAACUUUAUUGGACUCAAAAACCAACUUAAAACCAUCUCGACAUAAACGGGAACCGCUAACGAGAUUUUUAUUGAUGGACGGCACAUGAUGAACGUUCUUCAGACGCACGGUCUUCCCCGAAGUAAACUUCAGAUCGACCGUACCAACACCUCGAACGAUGGCAUGUGACCCGUUCCCCAUCAGCACGGGAGAAGUCCCUGUGGCCUGGUAAGAAGAAAACAUGGAGGCGUCAGCACAAACAUGUACAUUGGCACCGGUGUCAAUUAACCAAUCAGGGGAUUGAAAUACUGAAAGGAUGGUAGGAAAAAUACCGUACCCUGAUUCCUUCAUAUCAGUAUCACCGAUGACAACAUUAGCGGACUUGCCGCCCUUCUCAUGUUCGCGCUCCUCAAAGCGGUUAGGACACUUCGGAGCCCAGUGAUUAGGAUCACCGCAGACAUGGCAAAGUCCCUUCCCCUUCUUAUGAGAAUUCUUCUUGAAGUUGGUAGAAUGUGAUGGCUUGUUCUUUGUAUCAAACUUGCCUUUCCCCUGAGUUUUGUUCUUGUUGUUUUUGAACUUAUUGGGCUGGAAGUUCUUCUUCUGUACCAUGUGGGCACUAGAAGCUCCCUCGGCAACUCGAGCACGUGUGUCCUUUGCUCUCGCCUUCUCUUCAACAUCAAGAGUACCAAUGAGAUCCGCAACGGAAAACUCCUGUCUCUUGUGUUUCAGAGAAGUAGCAAAAUUGUUCCACGAAGGUGGAAGCUUGGCAAUAAUGCCUCCGUCAACAAAUUUGUCCGGCAACACACACUUGAAGUGCUCAAGUUCUUUUGCGAGCGACUGUAUCUCAUGAGCCUGCUGUACAACAGAGCGUUCAUCAGUCAUCUUGUAGUCAUAGAAUUGCUCCAUGACGUACAACUCGCUACCGGCGUCCGAGGCACCAAACUUGGCCUCGAGCGCAGCCCACAUGUCCUUGCCGUUGUCAAACGACAUAUACGAAUCCACAAUGGAAUCAUCAAGAACACCCAGAAGAGCGCCUUUAAAGAGAGUAUCGAUCUUCUCAAAAGCUUCCAGCUGUGCUGGAUUAAGAUCGCCCUCAGGCUUGCCCUUAGUGGCGUCAUAGCAGCCCUUGGUCUGAAACCAGUAGACUGCUCUCGUGCGCCACCUCUUAUAUUGCGCCCCCUUAAAGGCAGGCGGCUUCAGAUGCGCAGCAAAACCACUCGGAGUAAAUUGCCUAUAAUCAGGUUUUUGGAUUGUUGAAAAUAUGAGCAAAUUACUACGAGAAUUAAUCCGAAUUAACAGAAGAUAAAUCAUGACUACAGUAGCAGAGAUUGAACUAAUCAUGUGAACUAGCAUAGUAGAUGAACAAAUCACAUCUAGGGCACAUACUAAAAACAUGAAUUCUACCACGAUCUCGAACAGGAAAGAUAGAAUCACAUACGAUGCAGCGGGAGCAGCACCGCCGGCGUUGACGUUGUCGCCCAUGUCGUCGAGGAUGAGGUUGCCGAGGUCGGGGAAGAAGUCGUCGUUCGCGAAGUCGUCGUUGCCAGCAGUCGCGCGAGUGCGCUCCCCAAAAACCUGAUCGCCCCUCUCCCGUACAGGAUCACGAGAGGCGGGGUUCCGGAGGCCUGCUGUCCCUUCUCCCGGUGCACGCCGAAAGGAGGGAUGGAGAAGACUUGAUUGGCGGCGCAAUGGUCUGGAACGGCGAUGAGAAACCAUACGAGAAACGGCGGCGGCUAGGGUAGACGUCUGCCGUAGGUCGUGGGAGUAAACCCUACGUCCGAGUCGUCACGAUCCAAAAGAACCGGAAACAGUUCAGUAAUUAACGCGUCCAUUAAUUAUUAAUUAAUGACUCAUUAAUUUUUCCCGAGCAGCAAAAAUAUAGACAACGUGCAUAGCUAUGUCCUCGGCUCGGCUCAAUCCCGCAACCCGCGGCGCGGCGCGGCGGGGCGGGGCGAGCGAGUAGGUCUCCUCUUCUCAUGCUCAUACAAGUGGUAGGAGAGCUCACCUUAUAAAGAGGUGCAACUCUCUCUCAAUUUAUGAGGUGGGACUAAACUUUAGCCUUACUCACUCCACUCACAUGUGCGCAUGAAUGGGCCAAGAGAAUUUCAGAAUUUUAGUUGGGCUUUGAGCCAAAAGCCCACUAGCAAAUUCCAACAACUAGUAGGAGUACCUCAAACCAAAGCUUGCAAUGUUAUCAUUACAGGAAAUGAACUUGAUUCUUACGUGACAACCUCCCGAUUCCAAGGGACCACGUGAAAGCUACGACGAACAACUACUCCCCCCGUUUCAAAAUAGAUGACCCAAUUUUAUACUAAAGUUAGUACAAAGUUGGGUCAUGUAUUUUGGAACGGAGGGAAUAUGCAUUUUACAUGAUUUUGACGUCUUCAACAAAAUGCUGGCAAUCAACAGUCCAGUUAUCUUCUCGAAAUCAUGAUCCUUUACAUCCUUCAAUCAGAGAGUUGAAAUCAUGAUCCUUUACAUCCUUCAAUCAGAGAGUUGAAAUCAUGAUCCUUUACAUCCUUCAAUCGGAGAGUUGAUCUCCAGUCGAGUCUGUGAAGAUGCAUCAUAUGGGCUAUUUUUUUCGCCCGCCAACAAUCCACCAUUUCGGCGUUAGGGCAAAUCAUACUGAGAGCAGAUCAAACUGACACAGAAGCUUGGCAUUAAAAAUGAAGUUUUGACAUUCCACUUCCAAAGUAACAUAAAAAAUGAAAAUGGGUGCUAAACAAGGCUAGCAAUCUAGUAUCACAAUACUAAGAUGUAAAGUAAGCUUUUCUUCACAGAAGAACCAUUUAGAUAUAGGGGUUUAUCAUGCUGGUUAUCUAGAAACAGAUGAUACUGUCUUUCCCACACAAAAAUUAGACCCCAAAAACUUCGUUUCACAAGAAAACAUGUUUCCCCAGAAAACUGCCGCAAGUUUGAACGUACUAAAUUUCAGAUAUGCAAGAACUCCAAUAUCGAUCAAUGGAUAUCCCAGAACUCUCCAGUUGUAAAAUGAAUUGAUAUGUGCAUGUCAAAUUGAAGGCAUGCUAUAUCACAUCAAACAUUCUCUUUCUCUAACAGCCACUUUGCUCAUUUUAAGAAACACUGUGAACGAUGAUUCAAUCCAAUAGCAAAGCUGUACGACAACAUUUGUCCCAUUAUCCUAUUAUUAAGUGGCCUUCAAUUUUCUCUGCUCAAAGAGAAUCAUAGGUUCAUGUGUAAUAAUCAACAAAAUAAAAGCUCAGAUAACUUUUUUUUUAGGGUAGCUCAGAUAACUAAUAGUGAAGUCUUAUGCCACCCAAAUGCCCAAUGCACCUUAUAUAUGACCAAAAACAAAAUGUCCACUUGUGGAAACAAUAUAACAGCUGGAGCGAAAUCAAAUAACCAUGAUCCCAUGAAUCUAUGCAGUGGAUAUUGUGAGACAUUUAUCUGAUAGUCACACACCAUGUUUCUACAAGCCAGAGCUAUAACUUCAGUUGUUCUAUGAUAAUGAAGAACGCCAUUUGGUUCUUUAAGGAGGACCCAUCAUCAACUGAUGACUAAAAUAAGAUGCAUGACUUAUCUAGGUUUCAAAGGUUCCGAGUGACUAGAACCAUAUAAGCUUAUUCUCAACAAGAUUACCGUCAGAGCCAAUCGUCUAGACCUCAAUAGUGGUAAUCUUCGGCACACAUUACUGACCAAAGAAAGUACUGCAUUUCAUACACCAAAUCGCUCGGAGCUCGUGGGGAUGCCAUGUGAUAUAAAUGAAGAAAACGUCAUGCCGUGGAGAAGAAAUAUAGGUGACUUCACUAUGCGCACUUAACACCGUGUGGCAGCUUGUUUGCAGAGAACAGAAAAAUCAGGGCUCAUACAAAACAACCACAAAAGCAAUAGUGAGCAGAUGAAUCUUAGAGAAAACUGGAGACGGCAGCAUGUCAAAAGCAUCUUUAAAGUAUCGAAUAAGUAGUCAUAACAAGGAAAUUGAAAUGAGCCUCUACAGAAUGUACAUACCGCAACACAGUAAGAAAAGAUGAUUACACUACAAUAAGAACAUUUUUAUGAUUCCUACCCUCUAAGGCCAGUGGUCAUCUUGAUCAGGCUUCUUGACAAAGAUCUGGUUGUAGUCUGGUCGAGACAUCUGUAACAAAAGACACAUUCAAUAAUUAGUGCAAGACGAUAAUAUAGCAAAUUCCAGAAUACCAGAUAUAGCAAAUCAUAUCAAAGCAGACUACACUUGUUCCACUACAGGCAUGAUUUACCACUGAUACAUCUCUAGGUAACAGCUCUACCUCCAAGUAGCAUGAUCUGACUAAAAGAUUCACAGUUACAUUAUAGAGUAUAGACUGUGUCUCCAGACGAGCAAGCCUAAUGGUUUCAAUUUGAAUAGCAUAGUUGGAGGCCUCGAGCAGUAACCAUGGACCCCAAUGCCUACAUUCGAUUCAACACCGCCCAAAUUCCAAGCCAGAGCACUUGCAUUAAAUUAGCUACCAUCUCUCCUACGGUUUCAAUUGAUUCUUUGGCGAACGAUGCCAAUUUGGGGCAUAGACCACCCUACUACUAGAUCUCUUGCUAGCAGGUGCCGCACCAGAAUUUUGACCCGUUAGUCAGGUGCGAAAUGUUCAACGGGGAGAGAAGGCGAGAUGGGUGCGGGCUUACGAGAUCCUUGAAGAGGAUGAAUGCGAUGAGGAAGAAGAGGACGAAGAGGAUCUCGAACUCGGCGAGGCGGACGAAGCGGAAGACCUUGUCCACCACCCUGGUCAGCAGCCCGGGAUCCCGCCGGCCCCCGCCCCUGCCGACGCCCCGCUGCUGCCGCAUCCCCUCCGGUCGCGCGCUGCCCCCUCGACUGCCUCCCUGAAGCCAUGAACCCUAACGUGGGUACAAGAGAGAGAUGUGCAUAGACAAGUAUGGCUGGGUGAACGGGGAAGAACAGCUACCGGAUCACCGGCGGCAGCGUGGACGAGACGGGGUCGAUCGGCGCGGCGGAGCAGGUCGUCGGACGCGGGGAGGAGGGGACGGGCCGUAGAGGGUGGGCUCGCGUGUCGGGGUCCUCGCGGACUAUGCAAUUGCCGGCGGCUCGAGCGGUGGUCCGCACGAUCUUGGAUCGGACGGCGGGAAAAGUCGAAGCAGCAAGGGGAAGGAACCAACCCCCCGUUGCACUUUGCAGCUCAGCGAGUCCAAAUUGUCCCCCCUUCAAACCAAGUCCAAAUUGUGCGGCCGGUGGUCCAUUGCCACGAGUUUAUUUACAGUCUUAUUUCUCAUUUGAUUUGACUGUCCAAAUUUGUCCACGCGGUUCUAAAAAAACGAUCAUCAUGUUGUGACAAUGUGUUCGUCUAGUACAGGAAAAUGUCAUAUGCUCUUCUAGUGUAGUGCAAAAGGAUGCAUUACAAAUUUCUCAACGCAGAUAUAAAAAAUAAUCACCAUAUAUAUAAAUUUGUUAAACAAAGGAAAAAAAAGCAUUUCUUUUAGACCACACACACAAAAAAAAGAACCAUACAAAGAUCUCGACUCAACGUUGAGUAUGCAGACAUACAUCACCAAAUAGAACAGGAUGCAUAUGAAAAAGGCUCUAGCUUGCAAAACAUGAAGGUAUUGGUUUUAGAAAACAUGGAGCCAUUCGCUUAUUCGGCUGACAGAAUAACAAUGUGGGUGAUAAUACAGGUCUGAUUGCCUGUCAGCCUGUGGCAAAGCAUUCCUGGACAGCGUACCUGACUGAAACCAAUAAGGCUAUAUUUCUGGUGAUAAUUCGUUUUAGGUUUUACCCAACAGAGUAAGCAUAAAAAAGAUGGGAAUAUGCUAGCUAAUGUUAAGCUCAAAGAAUCGUCAGCACGUAGUUUACAGCUAGUAUACAUUUACAUGACACGACUACAGCAAAAUGGAGAUGUUGAGUGGAACUGACUAAACCGAAAGAUGUGAUAUCUUUGUAUGAUCUGGAGAGAAGAGACGAGGACCCUAUCAGGUAAUCCACUUGGAGGUGACUUGAGCACUUUGACGAGGUUUCAUGGGAAUCUGAGACAGGUUCCUCUUUUUCAUGUUGGAGGAGACAGUGGGGCUAAAAUAAACCUGGCUUUUCUGUGAAAUUGAUGCCGCUUGCAAGUGUGGUUUUCUCAAAGGAAUGAAUGUGUGCGACCUUGAGGGCGGCCCUUUCGAAGAUUCAACACUUUUAGGUGAAUCCCAUUUGCUAUGGUUCGCAAAACUCUGUGACCGGCCAACUAUCUGGGGCCUCUUGUCCUUUGGACUGGGAAUGUUUCUGCUUUCCAUAGUUUCCGCGGAGUACAUUGUCUCCUCCCCGCUGCUGAAGCCGUCCCUCUUAUCUCCUUGUUCUGAUAUUGCCGGUGGUGAAGAACUUGACUGUGCCUCAUUCCAGCAGUUUUCCUGGUAAGCAACAUUGUGCAUAGCAUCGCAGUUGAUUCGCGCAUUAGCUACCCGUGAUUCAUCUGAAACUGAGCAGUUCGGUUUGAUCUUAUUAUCGACAGGCAUCAUUUGCUUUAGAGGAAGCGGUAAGAAAAUAGAUCUUGGAUGCCCAGGAGGAAAGCUAUCCAUGACCGAACCAGGUUGCUCCUUAGGUCUGGGCAUCUGUGAGGCUGGAUCUCGUUGGCCUUGAAAGGAGUGUGAAUUAACAGAAUCAUUUUCACCAUAUGAAAUCUUGGCAGAUGCUGAACUGCAUGACCCAUGCUGCCGUGUCGGUCUUGCUGGCAUCUGCGAUGAUGACAAUGCCCCACCCUCUCGCUCAGUGGUCUUAAUAUAAUGAAGAUGACUCAGAGAAGAAGGUUCACUUCGUUGUCCAGCAGAAGAUAUUAAUCGUGCAGGGGGCAUCAUUGGCUUGCUAACAUCUUCCAAGCUACCACUCCAGUGCUGUUUUAACCAUUCACAUACUGCAGGGAUGGGGAUCCCAAAUUGUGUUGGCACAUCCAUCUUUGAUGCAAGGAGUGCAGUUGAUGAUGCAGAAGCAUACCCUGUAGGUGUAGAAGGUGCAAGCUUCAUCGGAUCACAGACCAUAAAAGCUAGAUUCCCGUUCAUAUCAAAACCAGCAGAUCCAGGAUGCCAUGAGACUUCAUCAGUUGAGAACUUUAUAAGGUUGUCAGUUGCUAUAACAACCUUCCCCUCACCUACUGCCAAAUCUCUUUUGUUUGUGUGGCCCAGGAGCAAAACUGUACUGCCAAGGUCCAAGCUGGGGUUCAAGCAGGUUUUCAGGAAAUGAGGCUGUUGCCCAUGCGAAUCUGGGCUAUCAUCCACGACAUCAAGCCCGACUAUUGUAAGGUCCAGAAUGGGGCUAGUGAUGAAGAACCUGAAAUGAAGAAACAAAAUGUAGAACUGGUAAAAAUGCCAGCAAAGGCAUGCAAGAUAAAGGAUCAUUAGAGUAAAUGCUCCUCCAAAGUAAAUAGAGUGUUUUUUUUCACACGAACCACUUCACUGAUAUCACCUUUCGUUUGUUCAAAGAAUUCGUACAACUAAGUUACAAACGUUGUUGGACUGUUUUAGAUAAUAAAGUUUUCUAGAGGAAAUCCAGAUUGAGCCCAUCCUGAGAAAAUAAUGCAUUAAAAACAACACAUCCUGCGCCCAUCAGUCGAGAGAAUAAAUGGAACCAAGGACCACUUUGAGCAGAUAUUACCUCCCAUUGAUUCUUAUCAGUCGAGCAUCCAAAAUUCAAUAGAAUUUAUGUCUACCCUGUACAGAGCGGUGAGGUGAUCCUAUGCGGCUACAGCAGCUUAUUUUAUGUACUACAAAAUCAACUUCAAUCCUUCAUACAUCAACACAUGACAAGAAGCCAUUUUAUGACUUACAUAAGGUGCGAACAUUCUUAUUUGGUACUCCCUCUCUAUCAAAAUAUAAGAAGACGUUUGUUGACACCAUGAUAGUGUCAAAAAGCGUCUUAUAUUUUGAUACGGAGGGAGUAAUUGGCUACUCCAUAAUGUAUUAUAUCUUUAUUUUUCACUAAAAUAAUAGCAGUAUAUUAUAAUCUAUCUACCCCUGGUUGCAUUUGAUCCUCCAAAGUAAAAUCGAAAUUGUGUCCCCCCUUGCACGUACGGUUGCUACAAUAACUGAAUGCAUUAAUAACAUCAAGAUUGCCGAGGUCCAUAAUCACAAGACAAGCUCAAAUAAUUCCCUGAACCAUAUUGAAGUCAACCCGACCAAACUCUUGAGAUUGCGCCUUUUCGCACAAAUGCAAGAACUGAGGAACCAAUAUGGCAUGGACCCACAAAUCCACCAAAACCUUGAGCCAUUUUUAACAGCAUUGCAACUGAGAAUCGCUACGGAAACCUACAAGCUUCUCCUAAAUUUGAAGACGAAAACCAGAUCUUCUUCCAGCAUGGUACAACAUGAACAGCCAGAGCACGAGUACAGCGCAGAGAAAUUGCCAAAGGUGUUGCAUAAUCAAAUCUUUGCGCGGAGCACUAUGCAACAUCAAUCGACUUCCGGGCGGAACCGACACAAAAAAAUGCAACCAUUUGGCACCGCAUUGCACAGCCAAACAACCCCAAGCAAAAACCAAGCAGGAAAUGCGAGCAAUGUCUUCGGGGUUCGUUACCUCUGAGGCACCAGGCGGGCCAGGAGGCGGCCGUGGCUGAGCUGGACCUCGGCGGCGGCCGCCACGGCGGCUGAUGGGACGGUCCCGUGCGUGGUGAGCAGGAGGGCGCGGUGGAUGAGGAAGCCUCCCCCGCGUUUCCCUCCUCCUCCUCCUCCUCCUCCUCCUCCUGCCCCUUCUCCGCCGCGAGGGAAGGACACCGCCGCGAGCGCGGGACCCUUCGUGGCGAACAGCGUGGACUUGAUCCGCUCCAGCUUGGCCCCGCCGCCGGAGCAGAAGCACCACCCCGAGCGGUCCCCCAGGACCCCCAUCCUAUGCGGCCGCUCUCCCUCCCCUUCUCUCCCUCUGACGAGUGGCUACCGGCGCACGGAGGAGGGCGGCGGUGCCCUCGGGUCAGCGGUGGCUGGCUGGCUCCUCUGGUGCUUUGGCUUCGUGGCGAGAGGAAACAAUAAUAAGGAAACGGUAAUGCUUCUCAGCGAACGUUCGCUGGGGUUACAUUUGUGAAUGUUUUUGGGGAUAUUUUAUGUUGCGGGUAGAUAGCAAUUCCUUCUCAAAAUUUGUCAUGUAUGUAUUUCUGAAAAAAAUGUCAUGUGUUUUCAAAAAAAAAUUGUCAUAGAAAUGUGCAAAUAUCAUCCUCCAAAGGGAACGUUUGCCGGCUAUUGCGGUCCUAAGAAAAAAGUUUGUUCUCAACGCGUUGGACGAAAAGCUGGGCAUCACAGUGGGCCGUGUCUCUGUCCAUUCUUACGGGCCGGAGGAUUUUUUGUUGUUGUGUUUGCACGCUAGGAUGACAUGAACAGGCUGGGGCAGAGUUUAGUGCUGGAGCACCAUGUAAUUUUAUUGUAUUAGAAACAUAGAAAGGUGUAGACAUGGUUCCUCUCUCAUAGUAAAUGGAAGUAGGGGCAGCAAGCGCAUGCAUAUUAUAUCCACUAGAUCAUUGAUGGCGCGCGUUGCUGCGCCCAUCUGUUUUGGCUCUUAGCUAUUAGGCAUAUAAAAUAAUUUAUAUGCAAUUUCCUCAAGUUCUUUUUCUUUCUUGUAACUUAUGCUUGUCUUAAUUUAAAAAGAAAAUUGCUAUCUAAUUAGAGAGGAAUUUGAGUGGUAUGCAAGUUGCUACGCCCAUCUAUUGUCAAUAGGACUAAUAUUUUUAUUAAAAUCAUUUAAAUUUAGUUGCCUUUUUCUGACGAAUAAUAAUAUUAUCCGCUGGUACUUUUUGAAAAUUAAACAUAGUUCCCAUAUGGUAUGUGUAUAUUUCAAUAAAUCUACAAAUAAUUGGCAGACUGAUGUAAUAGCACAAAAGGUAAUCGUGCUUGUUUUAAAUUUCACGAUGUUAGCAGGAUAUCUCUAUACUGAGAUAGUUUAUAUAAAAUUGGUCUAGAAUAUACCACCACUGUAAGUAAUUUCCUAAAUUGAGUGAAAGAAAAUUAACUCUCCGUCCCAUUGCCAAGAACCAUACUCGACAUAGAUAUUGUCUUCGCCGAGCGGUGAAGACAGAUUUUCCAGUAGUAGUGCCCAUAUGUAAGUAGCAACGUAAUCUUCACAGCUCACAAAGACCUAUAUUGUAUUGCAAGUACUUAGCUUCACAUCCAGCGAGGAUCUUACAGUCAACAAACAUAACUUGAUGCUUCGAUGCGAGAAUAAGUAUAUUGUUCUAUAUCUAUGGACACUGGGUAUGCACGAGGGUACACCAAGAUGUCCCUAACUAAACCGCUUCUAACCAUUUUUUGUGCCCAAUUGGUUUAGGGUUUUUCCUUUUUGUUGGGUAUUUAUUUAGACGCAAGUUUCCACCCAUACUGGACUAAUUACUUCAGCUGCUAUUUUCUAACCUUGCUGCAAUGCAAGGAGAAUCUUGCCAAAGUGGGAGCUCUAUUUCCUGUGAAAAAAUCCACCCUAAUUUAACUGUUUUGGUUUAGAUUACUUAUACUGGCAGUUGCAUAGUUGAUGCUGAGGAAAAGAAGAAGACGCCCCUGCAUCAUAGCACAUGUUUUGUGUGUGUUCAGUUUUGUGCUUGCAUUAGGAACGUGCAUAUUAGGAAUGUGCAGAGUUAUACUUAUCCGCAAAUUAAUUGUUAAUCUGGACGGAUUUUGGAAACCAUAAAUAUAUGUGUCAAACUCUGAAUCCUUUCAUGAUAGUCUUCAUGUUCUGAAAGUCCCUACUAGAGAAUAACAAUUGUUGGGAACAAAAACAUAUAUGGUUAUAUGUAUGAAAAUAUGCUAUAGAAAAUGAACAUGAGAGAAUGAAACCUGAUUGUUCAACAACGUAUAGUUUUCAUGUUUUCCUGGGAUCAACCAUGUCAAGCAACACAUGGUUUUCAUCUCGCCCUUGGAUCAAUCAAAUAUAGUAAGAAUGGAGAAGUUGAUAGCAGAUUGCUCNNNNNNNNNNNNNNNNNNNNNNNNNNNNNNNNNNNNNNNNNNNNNNNNNNNNNNNNNNNNNNNNNNNNNNNNNNNNNNNNNNNNNNNNNNNNNNNNNNNNNNNNNNNNNNNNNNNNNNNNNNNNNNNNNNNNNNNNNNNNNNNNNNNNNNNNNNNNNNNNNNNNNNNNNNNNNNNNNNNNNNNNNNNNNNNNNNNNNNNNNNNNNNNNNNNNNNNNNNNNNNNNNNNNNNNNNNNNNNNNNNNNNNNNNNNNNNNNNNNNNNNNNNNNNNNNNNNNNNNNNNNNNNNNNNNNNNNNNNNNNNNNNNNNNNNNNNNNNNNNNNNNNNNNNNNNNNNNNNNNNNNNNNNNNNNNNNNNNNNNNNNNNNNNNNNNNNNNNNNNNNNNNNNNNNNNNNNNNNNNNNNNNNNNNNNNNNNNNNNNNNNNNNNNNNNNNNNNNNNNNNNNNNNNNNNNNNNNNNNNNNNNNNNNNNNNNNNNNNNNNNNNNNNNNNNNNNNNNNNNNNNNNNNNNNNNNNNNNNNNNNNNNNNNNNNNNNNNNNNNNNNNNNNNNNNNNNNNNNNNNNNNNNNNNNNNNNNNNNNNNNNNNNNNNNNNNNNNNNNNNNNNNNNNNNNNNNNNNNNNNNNNNNNNNNNNNAAGGGAGGGGAGACUGGCAGAACGCACAAGAGCGUCAACCAUGGCUGCCGGAGAGGCGGAGACUAUCUUGGAACUAAGGAACCAAGGAAGAGGAGUGGGGGGACGAACAGUCGGAUGACACACAACAGAGACUAUAUGGAUGCGUGUGGAGCGAAGUAAGAAUACAGAACGACAUGGUAACUGACUUGAAAUAAUCAGCCCAGUCAGUUAGUGCAUACUAUCAAUUGCCAUUAAAGUCUGUAGCAGCGGUGAUUCAUUUUCUCAAUCGCCAGCGAGUAGACUCCAAUCGACAGGAGAUGAUUCGCUGCCUCAUUUAGCGCGCCCAGGGCGUUGCCCGACGAGUCGAUCUUGUCGCUCGCUUUGCAACGGCGCUGGCCGCUCGCCCUGCGAGGCCUGCGGCUGCGGCGGUGGGCUGAGCGUGUGUUGAUGCGUACGUGUACAAAGCAACGCUGAGAACGGAUGACAUACAACACUUAAAAAGCCCAGUCAGCCCAAAUUAACAGAAGAUCAACGAAUUUGUUAUGGGAGCAGCGGCCCUGUCCGUGUAGCACUUUCUAGUAUGCAAUCGAAGCCCAGGCGGGACUGCCAAAACAAUCAAAGGCCAGAAAUGCACACAACUCCAUAUCCAACGGCCAAAAAUGUUGAUGGCCUGAGAGGGCUGGAAUAGUGCUUGAUUGUAAUGUCUUUAAAUUAAAACCAUCAUGUGUAAUGAGAAAACACAACUCAUCAAUAUAAUCCUUAAUAAGUGCAAACUUCUCUGAUAUAGUGUUGUUGGGAGAAUUAAAAAAAUAAUAGGACAAGUGUGGGUACAAUAGCAAUAACUUCAUUUUUAACAUAAAGAACUAUAGCAAGUUCAUCUUCAUAAGCAUCAUAAAUAUUGGCAUUAUGGCCAUAAGAAUAGCAAGCAUCAGAUUCAUCAAGAGGGGAUAUUUCAAUAGGAUCAUAACAAUCAUCUAUAGAUUCCUGGAAAGUACCAAUCUCUUCUUGGACAACAUAUAUUUUCUUAAUAUAAUCUUUAAUAUAGGCAUUAGAGUCAUAAUUUCAGCAAUACUUAAGUAUGGAAAAAAUUAGAUUUGUAAAGAAAAGUGUCAUACUUUUAAUCAAAGCAGCAAUUUCAUAUGCAUCCUUCAAAGUAAUAAUCUUCAAUUUGUUUAAUAUCAUAAUAACUAUAAACAUCCUAGGCAUAAGAAGAUAAGAUUUCAUUAUCAUUAAACUCACAUUGGAAGGGAAGGUGUUUUUUUAGGAUUCCCAGAGUAAAUUCAGAGCAUAGCAUUCCAAUCUAGGUAUUUGAUCCCAUAAGUGUCUUCCAUUUUGAAACAAGUUGUGAUGCACAAAAUAAGCAUGCUCAUCUAAUAAUUUUCUCUCAGCUAAGCUAGUUUGGGUUUCAGCAUGAGCACAAAUGGAUCGAAGAUGACCCAAGUAGAAGAAUUCAAGGGGAUCCAUAUUUUAGCAAGCGAAGAUGCAAGCAAAUAGGAGGCACAUGUCAACACAAGCACACAUAUUUUGGUAUUUUUUAACGGAAACUAAUAAAAGCAAGUAAAAAGUAGAACAAGUAAAUGAUAAAGUGUAUGAAGGGACCUUGAGUUAUUUGAUGAAGUCUCCCCAGCAACGGCGUCAGAAAUUCUUCUGCUACUUGUGAUGGGCGUUGGGAUUUCCCCGAAGAAGAAGGGUGAAGUAUUAUAGUAGCAGAAAGUAUUUCAUUCGGUUAAAAAUCAAGGUUUAUUGAACCAAUAGGAGAUCCACGCAAACGACCUUUAGCAAUACCUACACACACAAGAGCGACUCAUGAUCUGCAUUUAGUUACAUGCAUGACCUGAAUCAUGCUGCAUAUCACAUACCUUACGCUCACAACCAAUGAACGUGUUGUGGACACACAACACGGUCAAAGCUUGUCUGCUUUUCCUAUUGAAAUUUUAAGGCAACAAAAUCCUUCUUCGCAGACGAGCUCGGUGGCUACACGGCCAUGGCAGGCCAACCUUCAUGGUUUCGCAUCCAAUCGGAACAAGAACCAAGCAAGCUGAGAUAAGUGGAACAUCUCAGUUGUUUAUAUUUGGUUUGUUUCUUAUUUUUUCGAACUUUUUUUUGUGUGUUCUGCCCGUUCGUGAAGAAGCAUUUUUAGAUUGUCCAAUUGCAACAUGCGAAGGUAUUGUUUUGAUGACCAAUGACGCUCGUAUAAGUUGUGACAUUUCUAAGUAUAUGCGUGUGCUUGGGAAAUAUUAUCUCCCAUGGUAGCGGUUUAGGCAGAGUCCCCGUGGUAGCGGUUUAGGCAGAGUCCUGAUGCACUAGGGUUGAGAUAUUGUGUGUCUAAGCACAAUCUGAUCGAGGGUACAAUGUGCACAUGGAAAUAAAAAUUGUUCAAAGACAACGAAGACAAGAUAGAAGAUACUAGUUCAUAAUUAAAAGGUGGAUUGGCGCUCACAUCCAGCCGCGCCAAUCCACCAGACUAACGGCACCACGUGCCCAUUUCUUAUUCAUCUUGCCCCCCGUACAGGUCACAGGGGGCUACAUACUAAAAAGAAAAAAGAGAAGGAAGAAGACGACGACUAUGCGUCGGGAGCAGAAGAGGACUUCAGGCAUCUCCGAAGUCGUUUUCCUUCUCCUGCGGCACCAGCACCUCUGCCACGGCUCCCACCUCCUGCUCUGCGCGACGCUGGUCCUCCAUGCCGAGCUCCUAUAAAAGAACCUCCACGGGGAAAUGGGGGGAGGCGUUGGGGACGCCGACAAGAAUGUGGUUCUCCACUGCACGUGUCGCUUGAUCCACCUCCGCCUCCCAUGUUGCUUCACCCUUCAGGCGGAACUCCCCAAACCGCGCCGCCAUAUGUUGGAACAAGAACACUAGAUGGUUCAACUUCUCCCUCAUUAAAGGCAUGGUAUGGGAUGAACUGCUCGAGGCUGAGGACGUCUAUGUCUUAAUUCAGCCUUAGGUACACGCCCCGCAGUGAUGCCACGCUCCCGUAGUGCUCCACGUGGAGGUUGGCGAAGAUUCAUCCCGGCUUGCGGCGGUGGAUCCGUUCAAUCUCCAGCUGAUCGCAAAGCUCCAUGGUCUCACUCUCCAAAUGAAGAUCGAUACCACUGAGAAAGCCGCGGAGCUCGCGAACUUUGACAUCCUUGGCAGCGAGAUUGGCACACAUUUGCUCCCACUCGUAGUGGUUGACUUUGUGCGACAUGGCGAAGGAGGAGGGAGGGUUGCGAUGAAGAAGGCAAAGAGAGAGAUUGUGGGCUCAAAGGACUCGGGGGCUCGGAUGGCUACAGGAUGACAAAGAUGAGAGGAAGAAGACGAAGGGUGAGGAGGGGACAGGCUCGAUCUCCAGCUUUUAUAGGCUAGGAACCAAGGCGCGACACCCUCCCCAAUUGGUGCCGAGCAUUCAACACACAUGACAGGCGUUUGGGUUUCCCGACGCGAACUCGAAUGCCCGUUGGAUGCAUCGGAUUACAAAGUGGGUUUUAGGCAUGAUUGCUCAUGCGCCGGUAUGAACCCUGAGCGAAUUAAAGACAGUUUGACAACACACGGGACAUCGUGUGUUCAAACCAAUGGCGACAGAAGUCAAAAGAUUUUAUUCCUGCCUCUGGCUGGAUUCCACGCCAUGUGUCAUGGUCAUGAAGUAUCGAAUCGACUGGUCAGCCAGUGGGUUGAGCCUAGCCCUUCGCCAGGCAUCUAACACAUAGGACAUGGGGGCUUGCUCCUCGCUUGUGCUAAAACUCACCUACUGUUUACUGGUCAGACUAGAUGGGAAAGAUGGUCGGUGCCUGUGAUCCCUGUGUUGUUAGAGGGUCUCGCCCUAACAAACGUGAAGGACACUCAUCAGGACCAGACAUGGGGGCUACCGUUAGUGACGUGAACGGUUGGUCCACGAGGUCAACUACACAUGGGCCACAGGUAGAUCUCCCCUUGGCUGGAACCAUCAAAGACUCAAGACCCGGGAACAAGACCUCCGGCAACGGCUGCGCUUCCUUACCAUCAAAGGCACCAUGACUCGACUACUUCAUGUGUGGCAUGAUAGAUCUUCCCCAUCAGGACUGGUGCGACACAUUACGACCAUGCAGACUAGGCAGUGGAAAUGCGUCGGUUGCCGGGGGUGACUCACCAGCCCACCUGCCACCAGGGCGACACAUGCAUCAAUGUGUGGCACCACCAGGCUAACUUAUCAUCUUGGGCGGUAGUGACAAGACUGCUGUCAUUCUCAAAAGAUAGAAGACGAUGACACAUCAAGGUGCAUUUAAUGCACUCACCUACAUUAUCAGCUCGGGGCAAUUCCUUAGCAACUACACCAUUGUGGUACCCCUUAGCCUAUAAAAGAAGGAAUGGGUGAAAGAAUAAAGGGAUUGGACACUUGUUAGACCACCAGUAGAAUCACACUACGCUUCCCGUUCCCGGGAAGGACUUCUAGCUAUGAUCCACCCAUAAAAACACCUAAAAAGCAGGAGUAGGGUAUUACACAACCAUGCGGCCCGAACCUGGGUAAAUCGUCGUGUCUGUUUUGCACAUUUCAGUAGUGUAGGUUGAUGACCCACAAGUAUAGGGGAUCAAUCGUAGUCCUUUCGAGAAGUAAGAGUGUCGAACCCAACGAGGAGUAGAAGGAAAUGACAAGCGGUUUUCAGCAAGGUAUUGUCUGCAAGCACUGAAAUUAUCGGUAACGAGUAGUUUGAUAGUAAGAUAAUUUGUACCGGACAAUAAGUAGUAAUAGUAACAAAAGUGCAGCAAGGUAGCCCAAUCCUUUUUGUAUCAAAGGACAGGCCGGAACGGUCUCUUAUAAUAAGCAAAGAGUUCUUGAGGACACACGAGAAUUUCAUCUAGUCACUUUCAUCAUGUUUGUUUGAUUCGCGUUCGCUACUAUUAUAAUUUGAUAUGUUGGUGGAGCGGUGCUUGGGUUGUUGUUCUUACUUGAACAAGCCUCCCACUUAUGGUUACCCCCUCUUGGAAGCAUCCUCAACUAAGAAAGAAGAAUCAAGAUAAAUCUAACCAUAGCAUGAAACAUAUGGAUCCAAAUUAGCCCCUUACGGAAUAGCACAUAAACUAGGGUGUAAGCUUCUGUCGCUCUAGCAACCCAUCAUCCAAUAACUACUCCACAAUGCCUUCCCUUAGGCCCAAAGAUGGUGAAGUGUCAUGUAGUCGAUGUUCACAUGACACCACUAAAGGAAGCAACAACAUACAUAUCAUCAAAAUAUCAAAGGAAUACCAAAUUCACAUGAUUACUUAUGUCAAGACUUCUCCCAUGCCCUCAAGAACAAAAGUAACUACUCACAAAUCAUAUUCAUGUUCAAGAUCAGAGGGGUAUUGAAUAUCAUUAAGGAUCUGAACAUAUAAUCUUCCACCAAAUAAACCAACUAGCAUCAACUACAAGAUGAAAUCAACACUACUAGCAACCCACGGGUACCAAUCUAAGGUUUUGAGACAAAGAUUGAAUACAAGAGAUGAACUAGGGUUUGAGAUGAGAUGGUGCUGGUGAAGAUGUUGAUGAAGAUUAGUCCUCCCAUGAUGAGAGGAUCGCUGGUGAUGACGAUGGCUUAGAUUUCCCCCUCCCCCGAGAGAAGUUACCCCGGCGGAAUCGCUCCACCGAAGAGCAAAAGUGCUCCUACCCAGGUUCCGCCUCGAGAUGGCGACGCUUCACCCCGAAACCUUCCUUCUGUUUUUUUCUAGGUCAAAUGACACCAUAUAGGGGAAGAUGGGCCCCGGAGGCCUGCCAGGGGUGCCACAAGCUCGGGGGGGGGGGGUAGGCUUGUGGCUGCCUGGUGGGUCUCCCUCUGGUAUUUCUUUUGCCUACAAUUUUAAUAUAUCACAAAAUAAUUCUCCAUCAAUUUUCAGCUCAUUUGGAGUUGUUCAGAAAAAGUGCCCCAGAUAUAGCCCUUCCCGGUCCAGAAUUCCAGCUACCGGCAAUCUCCCUCUUCAUGUGGAACUUGCAAAAUAAGAGAGAAAGGCAUAAGAAUUGUAUUAUAAAGUGACAUAAUAGUCCAUAAAACAAUAAAUAUCACUAUUAAAACAUGAUGUGAAAUGGACGUAUCGUAGGUCCUCACCUUCGUGCCCCAAUCCUGACCUAGAAAACUGAUGACAUCAGUCCACGGUGUCAUGCGUGUGUUCUUCACACGCCCGCCGACAGGAUCACCCUUAGGUGGAAGAGGAUCUCCCAAAGUUUCAACGGGAAAAUUAUGCUUAAGGAUAGGUGCUUGCCUAAAGAAUAUUUCAUCAAUUUCAUUCGGAUCGGGAUCUUUGCCGCCAGCUAGCUCUUUGCCUUCUGCUAGCGGACGACAAAGUAGGUCUUUGCCCUCAGCUUACAGAGAGCUGACGGCAAAGAAAGAGCGGACGACAAAGAGGGUGUUUGCCGUCAGCCAGCUCUUUGCCGUCUGCUAGCAGACGACAUAGAAGCUUUACCGUCAGCUAGCAGACACAAAGAGGGAGGGUGGCCCACUAGCAAGGGCCACCUAACGACCACUUCCUUUGCCGUCUGCGAGCAAACGACAAAGAGAAUAGCCAACCUAAUGGCUGUUUCCCCCCGGACCCACCCCACUAGCUACGCUCUUUGUCGUCUGCUAGCAGAUGACAAAGAAAUUAAACCUAACUAAAAAUGGUCGGACCCGCGCCCCACCCUCUCUCUCCCUCACCUCACCCGCGCCACCCCCGUGCACGCCGCCCCUGCCGCCGACCCCCGCCGNNNNNNNNNNNNNNNNNNNNNNNNNNNNNNNNNNNNNNNNNNNNNNNNNNNNNNNNNNNNNNNNNNNNNNNNNNNNNNNNNNNNNNNNNNNNNNNNNNNNNNNNNNNNNNNNNNNNNNNNNNNNNNNNNNNNNNNNNNNNNNNNNNNNNNNNNNNNNNNNNNNNNNNNNNNNNNNNNNNNNNNNNNNNNNNNNNNNNNNNNNNNNNNNNNNNNNNNNNNNNNNNNNNNNNNNNNNNNNNNNNNNNNNNNNNNNNNNNNNNNNNNNNNNNNNNNNNNNNNNNNNNNNNNNNNNNNNNNNNNNNNNNNNNNNNNNNNNNNNNNNNNNNNNNNNNNNNNNNNNNNNNNNNNNNNNNNNNNNNNNNNNNNNNNNNNNNNNNNNNNNNNNNNNNNNNNNNNNNNNCGCCGCUCAGGCCGCUCGUCGCUGCUCCAUCCCUGGUGAGGUUUCUUUCCUUUUUUCUUUAUUAUUUUGUUGUUGUUUUUUGAUUUAGGUUAAUUAGUUAGUCAGUUCGUUUUUUAGGUUAAUUAGUUAGUUGUUUUACCCUAUAUUGUACGUAGGUCAAUUAGUUAGUUAGUUAUGUUUUUAGGUUAAUUACUUGGUUAGUUUUUUUAGGUUAAUUACUUAGUUAGAUAAGCCCAAGAACAAGAAAAGAAAAGAAAGCAAGAAAGAAGACCUAAAAGGACUAGGAGGAGAAAACAUAGAAAAAAGAAGAAGAAGAAAACAGAAAACAGAAAAAGAAGAAAAAAAGAACUAAAGUCUACUGAUUGUAGCUAUUGAGGGCAAUGCUUGCUUUUCCUCGUUUUUAAGGGAUGAUGACACCGAUUGAAGCUAUAGUGGGGCAGGAUUGGUGUCGACCUAGCCACUAUCAUUAUCCAACCACAUUAUCGCGGUGUCGACAUGGUUGCUACUACAACUAGUGUAGGAUUCAACUAGUUGAUUCCGUUUACCUUCAUUAUGAAAGACCAUUGUUUGGAUGAAAAAAAGAAGUACGGGAAAAGGAGUCGAGGGUCUAGGAUCGAGGUGUCGAGGGGUCGAGGGUUGAGGGGAAAAGGGGUCGAGGGGUCGAGGGUCGCUGAGGGGUCGAGGAUUUGUCGUCCUGACCACGACACCCCGACCCCGACAUGACACCCCGACCCCGCCUCGGUACCCCGACACCUCGACCCCGGCACAGCACCUCGACCCCGACACGGCACCUCCCACCCUGACACAGCACCCCGGCACGACACCACCGACACCCCGACCCCCGACACACCGACCCCCGACACAACACCCCGAGACUCUGACACGACACCCCNNNNNNNNNNNNNNNNNNNNNNNNNNNNNNNNNNNNNNNNNNNNNNNNNNNNNNNNNNNNNNNNNNNNNNNNNNNNNNNNNNNNNNNNNNNNNNNNNNNNNNNNNNNNNNNNNNNNNNNNNNNNNNNNNNNNNNNNNNNNNNNNNNNNNNNNNNNNNNNNNNNNNNNNNNNNNNNNNNNNNNNNNNNNNNNNNNNNNNNNNNNNNNNNNNNNNNNNNNNNNNNNNNNNNNNNNNNNNNNNNNNNNNNNNNNNNNNNNNNNNNNNNNNNNNNNNNNNNNNNNNNNNNNNNNNNNNNNNNNNNNNNNNNNNNNNNNNNNNNNNNNNNNNNNNNNNNNNNNNNNNNNNNNNNNNNNNNNNNNNNNNNNNNNNNNNNNNNNNNNNNNNNNNNNNNNNNNNNNNNNNNNNNNNNNNNNNNNNNNNNNNNNNNNNNNNNNNNNNNNNNNNNNNNNNNNNNNNNNNNNNNNNNNNNNNNNNNNNNNNNNNNNNNNNNNNNNNNNNNNNNNNNNNNNNNNNNNNNNNNNNNNNNNNNNNNNNNNNNNNNNNNNNNNNNNNNNNNNNNNNNNNNNNNNNNNNNNNNNNNNNNNNNNNNNNNNNNNNNNNNNNNNNNNNNNNNNNNNNNNNNNNNNNNNNNNNNNNNNNNNNNNNNNNNNNNNNNNNNNNNNNNNNNNNNNNNNNNNNNNNNNNNNNNNNNNNNNNNNNNNNNNNNNNNNNNNNNNNNNNNNNNNNNNNNNNNNNAAAAAGGUGCUCUUCGGCCUUCCAGAGGCCGACGGGGUCAUAUAUUUGUGAAUUAUGAGUUAGGUCAGGUAUUCAAUUAUUAUUAUGUACACACACACACACACACACACACACACAUAUAUAUAACUAUUAAUUAGUUCAUGUUAUUAGGUAUUCAAUUUUUUAUUAUGUUCAUGAUGAUGAUACACACUUAUUUUUUUAUUAUGUUUAUGUUCUACUAAUUUUGUUUACUCUUUGUCAUUGCAGGUGUUGACAGAUGGUGGGUGCGGGUCGAGAGUGCUCCGAGCCUCCUUCCUCGACGCAUGCUGGGAGGUGUGUUGUUAUUCCACCCCAGAACCUUUGGAUACCGCUGGUAGACAGUAUGCAGACACCGGCGGGUGCUUCUUCUUUGGCCGGGAGAGGUCGGGGGAAGACAAAGAGAGGUGCAGCUAGAGGUGGACGUGGCGGCGGGACAGGUAGGAAGGCUGUUGCGCCUUCCUCGCCACCACCCCCAGCUGAUUCUCCGAACCACCGGAGUGCUCCGUCUCAGGUGGGCCCAUCUGACUUGGACCCGUCUCUGACUACAGUCCAUGAGCCUCGGGUCGCCGAGCCUACGUCCUACGAGACUCGGGUCCCAGAGUCUUCGUCCCAAGAGACUCGGGUCCUAGAGUCUUCGUCCCGUGUGACUCCGGAGACUAGUGGCAAUGCUGAUGGUGGCGAGGACACCUUGUCUGACGAUAGCUACAGCGAUGGCGAGCUGGUUGAGGCGGGCAAGAAGGUAUACCAGCGUGGUGGUACAAAGCUCCGGUCUAUGCCGACGACCCGCGACCAGAGGUGGUUGAUUGAGCCUAACGGGGAGAAGUAAGUGCAUUUACUCGUUUUUAACCUUUUGCUUUCAUGUUUCUUAAAACUAGUAUCUAAUGUGUUGGCCUUGUCAUACUGCAGGCGUUGGAUACAUGCCUCUGGUGUCCGCAGGCCCAACCAGGUCCUUGGUGUGAUUUGCUGGCACCACUUCCCGGCGUGGGUCACGUUGCCCGGUGAGGGUGAGGUUCCACAGCUAGCACUGACCUGGGAGCUGUACAAGGCUGCCCCGGCCCCGCCGGGGUAGAUGGUCUAUGGUAUCGUGUGCGAGACGGUGGCCGACAUUGUGAGACGGUGGUUUUGGGUAAUUUCUCCUUUAUAGAAUUAAAAAUCAAUAGUACCUAGUGAUUGUACUAAUCGGUGUUGUCUUGUUUGAUUGCUGACCUUCUACAAGAGGAACACGAGGUGGACGCGGCUAUGGUUCUCGAAGCCGAGUGCAAGCGCCUGCUUCAGAACUUAUGGUAUGAGGCUCGGGUGCAGGUUGUUCGAGACUACUACGCCUCGACUAACAUCAGGAGGGAGAAUAAGAAGUGUCGCGGCAAGUAUCUGACUAAGGAGAAGUACAUGAAGGUAAUUACCUAUCCUUAAGGCCUUGUACUUAGUUUCCUUUAUUUGAUUCGUAGGCUUAGUGCCGAAAUUUAUCUUUGUCUAACUUAGGUGCCCCCGAGAUGGUGUGCGGAUAGGAUGGACUGUUGGAAGAGGUUGGUGGAUGAGUGGUGCUCUCCCCAAUGGCUAGCCGUCCAUAGCAAGGCCAGGGACAAGCGUGCCCAGAAACAAGGUGUGCCACACCAUCAAGGGAGCUCCAACUUGUUUGAGUAUGGGGAUCACUUGGUAUGUGGUUUGAGCCCUUAACGAUUCAUGCAUUUUCAUUCUUCGUGCUAGCUUAAGCCCUUAACUAAUAUUUUGUUCCUCUCUUUUAGGCGUGACACCACAAGAAGGAGGUGCCACCGCUGCAUGACCUCUGUGCCAUGGCCCAUACUACCCCGUACAAGAAGGCCAAGGCAUUCUCGGAGGAUGACCUCAAUCAUCCAGAGAGCUCACCAACAUCUCCUCCCACGACAAGCUCGUGAGGUACAGAGACUUUGGGAAGGCGAUGAAAGGGGAGGACUUCAGCCCGAGCCAGAGUCCUUUUGAUCCUGAGCUCGUGAUGCUAUCUGGUGAAGGGAGAAAACAUGGCUCUAUAGCCAUUGGGGAUGAACUAAUACAUCGUCCUAGAAGUCUUCCUGAGAUCAAGAAGCGCCAGACGAUGUCUCUUCCUGAGAUGAGGCCUCAACAACGGCCAACGGAGCUCGCCAUCGAGGCUAGGGCCCAGGAGCUUCUAGCGGAGGCAACCAGGCAGGCGACACAGAGGGAGAGGGAGUUGGAGGAGAGGACGACUAGUAUGUUGGAGGCAGAGAGGAACCGGAAUGACGCGGGUCACCGGGCCCUAUACGAGCUCCUCGUGGUAAGUUUCUCCUGCAUAUUACCCAAAUCAUGCACAUAAAGUUUGUUUCAUUACUAACUAAUAUGAUUGACUGUGAAAACAAAAUGUGCAGUCCGUGUGCGAGAAAAACGGUCAGACCCCUUCGCCGAUGCCCCAGAUUGGUAUAGCGGACACGGUGAGUUUCAUUUGAAUGGUCAUUAGUUAUUAGUAUUCAUAUUUCAGUUGCAUCAUGCUAACCAGACAUUGCAAAUGAUCUUUGGUGCAGCACGCCUCCCAAUAAUCAUCGACCGACCCUUUUCCGUCUCGCACUGGCGCAACCCCGACCGGUCCUUCUCCGUCUGGCACUAACGCAACCCGACUGUUCCUUCACCUCCAUGAUGAUGGUAAGUUUUCCCAAGUGUUUUGCUUAACAAAUGCAUACUUCGCUUAAGAAAUGACCUACUUAGCUCCAAAAUGACCUAUACUUAGCUUAUUUUCCUCAAAAAUGACAUAAUAACCUUACUUAGCUCCAUAAUGACAUAUUCUACCUAGGAUAGCUAUAAAAUGACCUAUACUUAGCAUUUUUUCCUCCAACAUGACUUGAUAUGCUUAGUUAGCUAGAAAAUGACAUAACUACCUAAGAUAGCUCAAUAAUGAUCUAUAUCUAGCUUAGCUAGUUCAUUUAUGACAUAAUUAGCUCAAUUAGGUAAAAAUGGCAUAACUACCUAGGAUAGCUGAAUAAUGAUCUAUAAUUAGCUUAGCUAGUUCAUUUAUGACAUAAUUAGCUGACUUAGGUAAAAAAUGGCAUAAUAACCUUGGUUUAGCUCCCAAAUGACCUGUACUUAGCUUAUUUUCCUCGAAAAUGACAUAAUAACCUUACUUAGCUCAGAACCGACAUACUUUACCUAGGAUAGCUAUAAAAUGACCUACACUUAGCAUUUUUACUCCUAAAUGACUUAAUUUGCUUAGUUAGCUAAAAUAUCAUAACUACCUAGGUUAGCUCCAAAAUGGCCUAUACUUACCAUUUUGUCCUCCAAAAUGAAUGAAUAUGCUUAGUUAGCUCAAAAAUGGCAUAACUACCUAGGUUAGCUCCAAAAUGACCUAUUUACCUAGCCUAGCUCUAAAAUAACCUACACACUUAGCAUUUUUACCUACCUUAGUUAGAAGAAGAAGAAGAAGAUAAAGAAGAGGAGAGGAGAAAAAUAAAGAGAAGAUAAAUUCUUCUUCUUCUUUUUCUUCUAGCUAGUCUUCUUCUUCUUCUAACUUUCAUCUUUCCUAAUUUGCAGAUUUGCUUUAGAUGAAGAAGCUUGCAUUGAUGGAGUGUACUCUUCUACUUGUGCUUCCUUUCUGUUUAUGGAAACUUGUUGGAAACUUGUUUUGGAUAUGUAUGUAUAUAUGGAUAUGUUGUUGGAAACCAUUGUAUGUUGGAUAUGUUCUUGGAAACUUGUAUGUUGGAUAUGUUAUUGGAAACUUAUUGUUUGUAUGCCUGUUGAAAUUAUUUUGAAAUGUGUGUGUGUAUAUAUAUAUGUAUAUAUCUGUGAAUUUCUGUCAAAUUAAAUGAAUUUAAGAAAAAACAGAAAAAACAGGGGCUAUACAGGCUCUUUGCCGUCUGCCAGCAAACGACAUAGCUGCCACGUGGCAGCUACCUGUGCAGCCUGGGGUGCACUGGGCUGGCCUAUUUGGCAGCUUUGCUGUGAGCUGGCAAAUGGCAAAGACCUUUGCAUCUUUCCUAUCUGUUGGCAAACAACAAAGAUGCAAAGGCCUUUGCCGUCUGCCAGCUGACGGCAAAGCACGCUGUUAACCCCUUAACGGACCUAAGCUGCCACGUGUGUGAAGGAAAUAUACCCUAGAGGCAAUAAUAAAGUUGUUAUUUAUAUUUCCUUAUAUCAUGAUAAAUGUUUAUUAUUCAUGCUAGAACCGUAUUAACCGAAAACUUAGUACAUGUGUGAAUACAUAGACAAUACAUAGUGUCCCUAGUUAGGGGUGGGCAUAAAAACCGAGAACCGAAGACCGAAGCCAAAAAAACCAAGACCGAAGCCAAAAAAACCAAGAACUGAAGCAUCAGUUGUUCGCUCGGUCAGCAAACCUGAGAAACCAAAAUUGCUUCGGUGAAUUCGGUCGUUCCAGUGUGUUGACUGAAUCACCCGAAUUAACCGAAAAUACUGGGUUGUAUUAAAGCCCAGCGUACAAAGGCUAACAGCCCAUCCACGUUCGUAAGAAUCCAAUCACUACACGACAUUUUUUUCCAGCCUUAUCUCAGCCGCAAACACACAUGGCUCCACCUCCGGCAUCUUAUCUUGUAUUCCUUCCAGGCUUCACGCACGCACGAAGCGCCGCCGUCUCCGCUUCUGAUCCCCACCUCGCACAAAACUAACGGCGACCACUGCGCGCCUGCGCCCAUGGCUCCUGCGCGAUGGCGUGGCGGUGGCCAGCGGUGCCCAUGGCUACUGCACGGUGGUGGCCGGCGGCGCACAUGGCUCCAAGGAGGGGACCGAUGACGUCCAUUGCUCCGAUGCGGACUUGGGCUCACCGCCGACUGCCCCGUUUUCUUUGUAUCAGUCCCCACAACCAUGUACGCUAUGCAAGUUCAGAUUGAUUUGUGUCCGGUUGUUCUUGUUUUCUCCAUGAUUUGACUCGUGAUUUCUUCCUUUCCUACGAACAUUGGCUCCCUUCGGUUAUAACCGAGCACCGAACCGAAUUUUGAGUGGACUGAAGUGUCGGUCAUUGAUUUUUCCAGAGACCGAUCGGUCAACAAAACCAGGAAACCGAAUUUGAAUAUAAACCGAGGCACCGUACCGAACUGCUCGGUCUAACCGAAUGCCCAGGCCUAUCCCUAGUAUGACUCGACUUGACUAGCUCGUUAAUCAAGAUGGUUAUGUUUCCUAACCAUAGACAUGUGUUGUCAUUUGAUGAACAGGAUCACAUCAUUAGAGAAUGAUGUGAUGGACAAGACCCAACCGUUAGCUUAGCAUUAUGAUUGUUACAGUUUUAUUACUACUGCUUUCUUCAUGACUUAUACAUGUUCCUCUGACUAUGAGAUUAUGCAACUCCCGAAUACCGGAGGAAUACCUUGUGUGCUAUCAAACGUCACAACAUAACUGGGUGAUUAUAAAGAUGCUCUACAGGUGUCUCCGAAGGUGUUUGUUGAGUUGGCAUAGAUCAAGAUUAGGAUUUGUCACUCCGUGUAUCGGAGAGGUAUCUCUGGGCCCUCUCGGUAAAGCUCAUCACAAUAAGCCUUGCAAGCAAUGUAACUAAUGAGUUAGUUAUGGGAUGAAGCAUUAUGGCGCGAGUAAAGAGACUUGCCGGUAGUGAGAUUGAACUAGGUAUGAUGAUACCGA
RNAcentral lists this long non-coding RNA (74040 nucleotides) under Triticum aestivum (bread wheat). RNAcentral describes it as "long non-coding RNA (TAES_LNC016011)". The record is from RNAcentral. Lineage: Eukaryota; Viridiplantae; Streptophyta; Magnoliopsida; Poales; Poaceae.